CAAAUACAUCACAAAAUAAACGGCAAAGGGGGUAGAGGAAUUCUGGGUUCAAAACCUUAUUUAUUUCACUAACUAAUGCUUGAUAAAAAGUACACAUCUACAAACAACGAUUUGCAUUAUUCUACCUUCCAAGAUAUCCCAAGCUUGUGCAAAAGUUGCAGCAGUAGAAAUUUUAUCAAAGUUUGUAUCAUCUACACUUUGAUGUAUUAAAAACAAUUCUGGGUUGCAUCAUAAUCGAUUUAAGUAUGUUCCGUUACUUCUUGGAAAUCAAACAACGCCUUCAUAUGAACAUGUCACUGAUCCCAAUUGUUGACAUAACUUUUGCAGUUGCAAGGAAAUUAUCAUUGAAACUCACAUAUAUAUAUAUAUAUAUAUAUAUAUUUUGUGCCCUAAAUUUUGGAGACCCAACUAUGUAGAGUUGUUUACACCCUUUAGGGACGACUCUAAAUGAGAAUGUCUAUUAUGAGAUUAAUAUGAUCACAAUACUAAAGAAUCUUAUUGUUACAUCACUUAUUUAUAUGAUAGUAUUUUUUUUAAAAGGAUAAAAAUGAAAUAAAAGAAUUAUGACUAUUUUAUUCAGUCCACUUUCUAAACAAUAUAAUGAGAAAUUUGUAUUGUCUGUCAUGAAACUAAUAACUAAACAGAAAUAAAAAUUGUGUUCCAUUACAACUUGUUCACGCCACUUUAUUUCAUUCCAGUUGCAUUAUACAAACUGUUAAAACUUCAAUCUGGUUCAUUGACACUAAAGCAUAACAAAUAGAAGACACAUUUAGUGAAUCCUUACAACAAAAGGACAAUCCAAAUAUAACAUAUUUUUCAAUAAUAAUGAUAACCAAUACAGUAAUUUCCCAAAAGAGAAACAUAUACCCCUUGUGUACUACGUGAUGAUCUUGUUACUACAGAAAUGCCUUCAAUUAAUGAAUCAUUUGGAUCAAUAUCAGCUAAAAGGGGUAGAUCAACUGCCAUAGAUUCUAGACUCACACCUUCAUCUCUCAGUUUUUUUAUUACUUCCUCAAACACAAAUUGAUUCCCUCCAUUAGUGAGAUGCAAACCGUCACUGCAUUUAAGUAUAAUAAUCAUAUCAAAACCAAAACUAUAAUACCAUAGACUAGUAUCACAAUAUUUGAUUAAUUGGUACUUUAAAUUAAAUGGUAAAUGCUAAUAUCAAGAUUCCAAAGUAUUGUAAGAGAAGAUAAAUAAAGAAGGUAAAUUUUUUGGAAAUUAAACCUUAAGUAAACUUUUUCCCAUCCAAGGAACCGUUGCAUUUUAGUCCAGAGAUCAAUGAAAGGAAUUUGACACUCAUUGGCCACAGAAUGCAUGCUUUAGCAUAUUCACCAGCAGCUUCAUUUGUCCAUUCAGGAAGCCCCUCAGGAUUGUUAACUCUUAUUUUAAAAGAUGGUCUCGUUAACUCUUCAUUUAUGCUUAUCUCUCUUAUGAAUGAACAAUAAUAAACAAAAAUAAAUUUUAAAAGAUGGUCUUGUUAACUCUUCAUUUAUGUUUAUCUCUCUUAUGAAUGAACAGUAAUAAACAAAAAUAAAUAAUUGAAGAAAUCCGAACUUGUUACUACCGACAUAAGUUACCUUAAAAAAGGAGACAAUGGAGCGAAGGUUGUCCUUGUAUUCAUGUAGAGGAACAUGUUGAAAAACAUAGCAUCUAUUAGGAAGACAAGCAUCAUUUGCCCCAAAAAAUAUUGUUAAAGCAAUUGGAGCAGUUUCGGUUCCCCGGUCGCUGCCAUGUGACACCGGAAAAACCUUUUCCAACACUUUCAGUGCCCAUCGUGUGUUAUACCCACGAUACCCUCUGAACAUCACAUCAGCCUGUCACACGAGCUCAUUUGAUUAAAAAAAACCUCAAAAAGAUUUUGAGAAAAUCACUUUUGAUAUUUUAAUUUGGGGUACGUUUGUUUCAGCUUAAAAAAAAUAGAUUUUGAGUUAAAAGAAUCUAUAGUUUUUUUUUGUUGAGAUUUUUAAUAAAUCUAAAGCUAUUUAUGUUUGUUUAUUAUCAUAAAGCUAUUUAUGUUUGUCUAGCGGCGCAGCUUAUUGUCCGUUUUUCUUUUAUUCAUGUGUAAUUAAUCAUUAUUGAUCUUGUGCUUGUAUUUAACAUGUAUAGCUUUUCAACUUGAAUGAUUUUUAAACAAAAACGAAAAUAAAAAACAUAUAUAGUUCAUUUUUAUUUAAAAUCACUCUCAUUCAAUCUAUUACAAAAUCUGGAAAAAUAACCAUCAAGAGAAAAACAAGAAAUGACAUGGAAACAUGGUUGGUGACUUACCGUACGAGAGAAAUAGUUGGCAAAAGAAGCACCCCAUCCUCCAACACCAAAGGAUUCUUCAGUGAUUGAAUCUGUGGCCUUGUCAUGUUUUGUUAUACACAAGUGUGUGUCUUUGAUGAGUGAAGUUGAAGAAAUGAAAGAAUGGACAAUCCACUAUAUAGUCAACACAGCAAGCUACAUGUGUUAAUAAAAAAAAAUUAAGAUUUCGUAAUCAAUUCGGGUUUAUAAACUUAAUGUGAUGGAAAUGAAAAUUCCGGCUAGUUCUAUAUUUUUUUUAGGCUAAACACCACUUUUCGCCCCCUAAGUUUCAAAAUGUUGCGAUUUUGGCCCCCUAUUAAAAAAAAAUGGCAAAAGUGACCCCCUAUGUUUAGGGAAAUAUGCUCUUUUGACCCCCUAACAUAAGGGAAAUAUGUUUUUUAACCCCUUAUCUUUACAAAAAGUUGCGAUUAUGACCCCUUUUCAUGCCAAAAAAUGAAUAUUUAAUUUCUUUGUUUUUUGUUCUGUCUUUGACCCUCUCUUGUACUAAAUAAAAUAAGGAACAUAAUUAGUAUGAUGGAAUAGAAUAUAAUGAGUUUAUGUUUUGUUGUUUAGAUUGGUACAAAGAAAAUGAAAUGAAAUGAGGUGAAGUAUGAAGGAAUAAAUUUCAUCGUAUUUCAUCAUUUACCUUGAGUUUUGCUCCCAUUCAAUUUAUGCAGAAUGGGAUGAAAUCCUCUUUUUGUUUUAUUUUUUAAGUACUAAAAAUACUACUUAUCUAUAUGUUUCUUUCUUAAAAACAACUUUGCAAUAGUGUAGUUCCUUCAACAAAAAAAAAAACUUUGCAUUAGUGUAAUUCUGUAAUUAGAGAUUACUUGGUUAAAACAUGCUUUUUUAUGUUUGUUUAAACUAUUUUAAAUUUUAAUCGUUCCAUCAUUAGGACCUUGAUCUCUUUUCCACUAUCUCAUACCAAAUAAGGGCUGGACAAAAACCAGCCAUCCGGUCCAAACCGUCCGGUCCGAAUGGCCCGUUGACGUGCGGGUCGGUCUAAACGGGUCAGGCGGUCUCAACGGGCUUGCAGAUUCGGUCUUGUAUGGAUACGUACGGUCGGUCUCGGAUGACAGAAAUCCAACCACGGUAACCCAAUACCGUCCGAAAUAUACUGAAUACUCUACAACAAUCUACUAUAUAUAUGACAUAUAUAGUAAAGAAAUUCAUUUUUCAAAAUAAUAUGUCUAAUCUCACAUUCCAUUAACCCAUUAAAAUUGGACACAUCAUUUCCUUGAGACCCACGAUGCUGACACAUCACAUGCUAAUACUCUUUCUUUUCUUAUUAUUACUUAUUUACUUCUUCCAUUGACAGGUCCCACUCCACUUUCACGUUUUCAACACACUUCCCCUUCCUCAUCUCUCUUUUCUCUCUCACAUAAUUCUUCUGGCUUCUUCUUCACCACAUAAACAAAACACCAACUCUUUGUAUUUCAAUGGAAAAAAGAAAUUCAUUUUCCAAAAUAAAGAAAGAAGAAAGCAACAUUCAAUUGCAACAAAUUCAUCAUCAUUUAAUUGUUCUUCCAUUCUGUUUUAAAGGUUGUAGUUGUUGUUGUUCUGUUGAAGGUUGUUGUUGUAGUUUUCUGAAAUUGUUGAAAUUUCAGCUUUCCAUUUGAAUUUUACUUCCUUUCAAAAGUUUUAAUUUUUGAUUGAUUUAGUAACCGAAAAAACCCACCCAUCAAAACCGAUAUCCGAUCUAACCGUAAACCGACGUAACCGUAAACACUUGCGGACGGGAAUGGGCUUAGUUUUUCCAUCCGCGAAACCGAUUGAAACCGCGAUUUCUGGCCCGAAACCGUCCGAGUCCGACCGUUGUCCACCCCGCAAAUAUAUUAUUAUUACCCCUCUCAUUUACAUGAAAGACGUCACUUUUACGGCAACAACUUCUCUAUAAGAUAUUUAAUGAUAACAUGUGUGAAACAAUGACAGAGUUUCUUGCAUUCAUUAAAGCAAAAUGCCCGAAUUGAAUAAUAGAUAUAAGCCAUGUCAAAAUAGAUACUAGAACUUGAUACAAGUAAUUAGCAUGCCAAUUUUAACAUUUUGGGUCUUAUACAGGGAAAGAAACAGUUUUACAGAUUUUCUAUUUACGUAUGGUGAUUUUUUUUUUUUGACCGGGGUUCGAACCCAGAUCUUGCAUAUAUUAUACAUUGUUCAUGUCAACUGAGCUAAAUUUACGAGGAUGUAUGGUGAUUCUUCUAGAGGUAGGGGGUAAUGUUUGAAAAUUGCACUAUAUUUUUUUUUUACUAGUUAGUGAAAAUAAUACAAAAAACUAGAAGAGACUUUAUAUAAGCUAUAAAAUUUUAAACAUUUUAAUAGAUAAUGUAUUUUAAUUCUACAUAAUAAAGUUUUUAAAAAGUUAAAAUGGAAAGAAAAAAAAGUUAUAACACAUUUUUCCCAUUAUGUAGCUUAAGCCUUAAUGAAUAACAUUCCUCCGUUAAGGUGAACAAAUAGAAAAUUUAAGGUUUGAAUCCGACUUCUACAUAUCACAUCUCCCUAUGAACGAAGUUAUACUUACGGAAACAAUCAAUUACAUCUUAAUUCUGCUCAGUCAUAAAAUAUCCAACCAAUAUAAUUUAUAUUCCUCUCUGCUCAUUUUAAAAUAUCAAGCAGAGCCUUAAAAAGGGAAUUAGAUCCUCUCAAUAGUGAAAAAACUUGAUAGUUAGUUGGAUGAUUUAACCAUUAAAAUGUAUUGAUUCCCACUUAUAUAAUUUUAUUGGAUGGAGAGCCCAACAUAUUUUAAUGGUGAUGUCAUUCACAUAAUCCUUUAAAAAAAUCACAAUUAAAAGGAUCUAGAUCACACUUAAAGAGACGAAUACUGAGAAAGACACAACCAAUGGUAGAGAAACUAAUGAUUUUUUUUAAGAGUCAGAUUAGCCCAAUGAAAUUGGCUCUGGAGAGAAAUGAAUGAAGUUAUACUUACGGAAACAAUCAAUUACAUCUUAAUUCUGCUCGGUCAUAAAAUAUCCAACCAAUAUAAUAAAAUCUAUAUUCCUCUCAGUUCAUUUUAAAAUAUCAAACAGAGCCUUAAGAAGGGAAUUAGAUCCUCUCAAUAGUGAAAAAACUUGAUAGUUAGUUUGAUGAUUUAACCAUUAAAAUGUAUUGAAUCCCACUUAUAUAAUUUUAUAGGAUGGAGAGCCCAGCAUAUUUUAAUGAUGAGAUCAUUCACAUAAUCCUUUAAAAAAAAAGCACAAUUAAAAGGAUCUAGAUCACUUAAAGAGACGCAUACUGAGAAAGACACAACCAAUGGCAGAGAAACAACAAGGACGCACAAGACUUUUUUUUAAGAGUCAGAUUAGCCCGUUGAAAUUGACUCUAGAGAGAAUCGAGCAUGAUACAUUGAGAGAAGCACACUCCACGAUCUGAAGCCAACACCAUCAUGUCAUUUCAAAGGACGUUAAUCGUAUGAUAAAAGUGAAUAGGCAAUGAAAAAAGGAUGUAAAUGAAUAUACAUAGACACAUAGAGUAUGAUAUCCGUGUUUUUUUUUUUAUAUAUAUGAUAUACAUGUCUGGUCCUUAUCUGUGUGGAUAUCUAUUGAGCAAAUUCAAGAAUUUUGAGGUACCUUCCGGUAUUAAUGGAUAUUCAUGGACAAUAUUUUCAAAAAAAUAGAAUAAAUUUUAUAUAUAAAAAAACUACUUUUUGUUAUUACUCAAUAUUUAACGACAAAAGUUCAUCACAAUCAUUUCACUCUUAUUUGUAUUUAACAAAGGAUACUUAUGUCUAGAGUUUUUAUUUUUUGACCAAAUAUGAAACACUCUUUGCUUUUUAAGAAUGACGAAGGGAAAAAAAGAAUAACAUUAGGAACAUGACUCCGUACGUGGCAUCAAGUCUCAAAAUAGUCUUUAACUUUAAUGAAAAAGUCUGUCAAAAUGUCACAUCUAACUUUUAAGAACGCCUAAGUUUGAUUAAGAAAUUUGUGCAAAAAUUGUAUCUCUAAACACUUAUUGGAAAGAAAUGUAAGGAAUAUCCAUUAAGUAAUAUAUAGUUGAGAUAUCCAUUAAUUUUAUCUUUGGAUAUUUAUUAAGGUAUCCGCUUCAUGCAUGUAACAGGUUUUAUCCAUAAAUAUCUACGCGUACAAAUUCUUUUGUCAUCUCUAAUAAAGAUAAAGAAAAUAAUUUAUUUAGCAGACACGGACGAAUAUGUUAAAAAAGAAAUUGACUCCAAGGUGAGAAAUUAAUUGGGUAUCCUUGGAGAUAGGGAUGACAAUUGGACCCAAGCCCGAUGGGUACCUGUAAAAAAUACCCACAAUAGGUACGUAAAACUCUGCUUUUAUGGGUCUGGGCACGAGUACAUGUAAUACCCACAAAUUUUAAUGGGAAUGAGCACGAGUAAGGGUACUAUACUGCCCAACCCCGCAUAUACAUAUUUAUAUAAUAUCAUAAAUAAUUUAUUUAUUUUUUGUGUAUAAUUAAUUAAUUAAUUUAGCUAUUUAAGCCUAAACCUAAACUUAAACCAAAAAACUACUUAAUACAAUAACAACUCCCAUCAUGCCGGUGUACAAUUUUUUAGGGAUAUUUUGGAUGUUUUUUAUUUGACUAAAUAGUACGAUUCGUACUAUUUUAUGAGUUAAUUUUAAACAAUUUGGACCUCAGUUUUAUUUCAAUUGUGAUAUUUUUAUUUUCUUUUCAUAGUUAAAGUGCGGGUAAUGGGUGCGAGCAUGGACACUUAGGUACCCAUAAGGUACGAGGAAGGGCACUAAAGUUGUUGCCGACGAGGGUACGAGCACGGGUGCGUGUAUUUUUUUACAAAUGCUGGUAUGAGGAAGGGCACUGUAGUACCCUACCCAUAAGAAUUAAAAGAAAUUAGAUAAAUGCUAAAGUGUUUUUUUAGAUACUCUCAAUCUUCAAUAUAAACAAAAAAUUGUCAACAAAAAUUAAUGUAUUUGAUUUUAAAUUUGUAUCAAAUACAUCAGUUUAUUUGUUUAUAUUUUGAAACGGAGAGAGUAUUUGUUUAUAAAACUAAAGUAUGUUUUUUUGUUUUUACAAAAUAUAAAUAUUAUGCUUUUUUCCUAACAAAAUAUAAAUAGAGUGAAUAGGCAAAAACCCCCCUGAAAUUGUAACUUUCGUCAAAAACCCCCCUGAUUUUUAAGAAACUUCAAAAACCCCCAUGAAAUUAUCAAACGUUAGUCAAUUACCCCCCUUCCGUUUGUUUUGGCUGUUAAGUGACUAUUUUUUAAUUUCUUUUUGCUUUCUUCAUCUUCUUCCUUCCACUUUUUUCAUCAUCUUCAUCAACAUUCAUAAAAAAAUCCAGAAAAAAUUUAAGAAACAACAACAUCAUCAUCAACAUCACACACUUUCUAAUGAUUCUCUCUCUCUUGUUUGUUACCUUCUUGAAUUAAUCAACAACAACCCUUUGGAAUUCAUCAACAACAGAAAGAAUAACAGAAAAGAUCAUGAACUUGUUGGAAAAAGAACAAGGGUUAUGAUGAAUAGCAUGAACACCAACAUCAACGUUUCUUCUCAUUCUCAUGAUGUUAUUGUUCCAUCAUCACUCAUGUCUCCUCUUCAUAAUCAAUCACUUUUUAACCCUCAUUCAAAUGAAUUUCCUUUUUGGAGCAGCGAUGAGAUUAUCAACAACAAUGAUCAUCAUCAAUUGUCUCUUGAUCUUUCUGCUACGACCCUUUUGGAUAACAACAAUGAGCAACAAACAAGAGAAGCUUGUAAUGAGAUGAUGAUGAUGUUGUUAAUGGUUGUUGUUUCUUAAUUUUUUUCUGGAUUUUUUUAUAAAUAUUCAUGAAGAUGGUGAAAAAAGUGGAAGGAAGAAGAUGAAGAAAGCAAAAAAAAAAAAAAAAAAAAAAAGUCAUUUAACAGCCAAAACAAACGGAGGGGGAUAAUUGACUGACGUUUGUCAAUUUCAGGGGGUUUUUUGAAGUUUCCUAAAAAUCAGGGGGUUUUUGACGAAAGCUACAUUUUCAGGGGUUUUUUUUGCCUAUUUACUCAUAUAAAUAUUAUGUUAGGAAGUAGUGUAAAAUGGUAAUAUAUUUAACUUUUAAAAAGUUAAAAAUGUGUUGUUUUCGCCUAAUUAUUUCUAUUUUUUUAAUUUCCUAAUUCCUUUAAAACACUUGCUAGUUGCUAUCAUCAUAGGAUAAAAUAAAAAAUAAAUUGAAGGUGAGACGUCUGGUGGGUGGAGGGAUUGUAUAUAACUGGAGGAGAAGAGUCGUUGUGAUUUUAUUUUUUUUAUUACAAAGAGGCAGAAGCUCAUGGUUUUUUUUUUUUUUUAAAUGUUAUUUAUAUAAAAUUUCAUGUCAUUCAUUUCUUUAUCUUUCACAACAUAUUGAGUCCAGAAAAAAUCUUUGACAAAAUAUACGACAUUGAAGUUUUAUUUUUAAAAUUUUAUUCGAAUAGAUAAAAAAAUUGACAAGGACUAUAUAGUUUCAUUUCUUUUUAUUUUUUGGUCAUGGGAAUAUAUAGUUUUCUAUUAAGGAUAAAUUAUAGUUCUUAAUUCACAAUUUUGAUUGUCUGAUCAUUCUAUUUUUCUUUGCAUGAAACUUGUCUGGUUUGACAGUUACUCUUCCUAAAAUGACAAAAACGGUUUUUAUAACAGGAAGGGAGUGUUAGAUAUGUGAGUUUUGAAGAAAAGUCCUAUCAUCAAAGUGGAUUCAAGAAAAUGCCGGUUAGACAAAGGAAGAAAACUAACAGAAAAUAUUUGGAAAAAUGGUUAUAAAGAGAUAGGAUUAAUGAUGUUGGAGGAUUGAAGUAUGUAUACACACACAUAUAGUACAAGUUUUUUAUAUCAACAAAUUCCAUAUGGUUUUCAUUAUGUCACAUAACAUAAAUUUCAGAUGAUGCUGAGAACUCACUUGAGCAUGAACCGAACUACCAACAUAUAAAACGUGAACUAACUUCAUAUCUUAAAAAGGCUUUUUAAUUAACUGUAUUCAUAGAGUUUCAAAUGCAUCAAGCAUUGUACAAACCGUUCAAACUUCAAUCUGGUUCAUUGACACCGAAAUUGAAAUAUCAAAUACUAAAGCAAAGAGAAAAAUAAUAUAUCACUUACCCCCACAUAUUGCUAUAUCAUCCUGUUACUACAGAAAUGCCUUUAAGGGGUCAUUAGGGUCAAUAUCAGAUACAAGGGGGAGAUCAACUGGAAUAGAUUCUAGACUCAAACCUUCAUCUCUCAGCUUUUUUAUUACUUCUUCAAAUACAAGUUGAUUCCCUCCAUUAGUUAGAUGCAAACCGUCACUGCAUUUCGGUAAACAAAAUCGUAUAUUCAUAUCAAACCAUACCAUAUGCAUUAAAUAAUGAUAUUCUUCUUUGCAAAUUCAUACAGAAUUAGUCAUUUUCACAUAACUUAAGUCACAUGUAUUGGCUACGGAAUUGGUCAUUUUGAAAAACCAAUCAAGUCAGCAAUGAAAACUUCAUAAGUUUUUAUAUGAUGCAAAAAUGCAAAAUGUUGUAAGCAAAGAUAAACAAAGAAGGUAAAAAUCCUUACAAACCUUAAAUAAACUUUUUUCCAGUCAGGGAACUGUUGCAUUUUGGUCCAGAGAUCAAUGUAAGGAAUAUGACAUUCGGUGGCCACCGUAAUGCAUGCUCUAGCAUAUUCACCAGCAGCUUCAUUAGUCCUUUCAGGAAGACCCUCUGGAUUAUUCUCGAAUGGAUAUCUGUCAUAGAUUUUUAGAAAUUCUUCAAGUGUGAUUAACCUUUAUAGAAUUAUAUAUCUGAAUGUCACAAACAAAGAAAACAUGAUAAAAUCAGUGACAAAAUGAAGAGAAAAAUCCAAUAAAACAAUACCUAAGUCGUGCAACUUCAUCAAUGGGAGGGGGAGUUAUGAGGAUGACUUUAGUUGUCGGCCAUCGCUUCUGAAAUUCAAAGGAAAUUUGCAGUGUCCAAUUAUACCAUUUAUACAAGAGGCCUAGAAUUGAAAUUAAAAAUAUUGAAGCGUCAACUUGUAUACUUACAUAUACAUAUAAAGGACAACAGCUUUCUUAAUAGAAGCAUCAAAGUUGAUCAACUUAUGGGCCACGCAAGUGUAAAAAAACUUUCCUUUAAAAUGUUAUAAACAGACAUCUUGAUCCUUAAAGAGAGGGACCAUUCUUCCACUCCUAAAGUAGAGGUUGGUUUUCCCCCAUUUCUAACAUGCAUGCCUAUACUUAACAGCUCACAGCUCACAUGAGACCAAACCAACUGAUAACAUAAUUGCACAGGCACCAAGUAAUGACUGACACAGAAAGAAGGCACAAUGUUUAGGUUUGUCAAAACAACGCUAGACUCAAUUCAAUAGAAAAGUGGACCUUUACACAAGCAUCUCGUGCGAACUCCAUUCCCACAGAAAAGCAUGGAAUCAAACCUUUUGGAGAGCGAAAUUAUUGAUCAUACAGUAGUGGCGAAUAGCCAGAGUCCCCAUUUGACAUCACCUAUUCUAUUAACCUCCCAAUUCCCGAAAUCCCACAAGGCCAUGUGAGUGCAUCCCUAGUCCUACUGCCGUGCACUGUGCCACAACUUGACAACCAUUAUACACCUAGAGAGAAACUUUUCAUUCUCUAGAUCUAACAGUUGAAAUAGUUCUUGUGCCGUGCAACAUUAGUAGAGUAUGCAAGGCUAUACUUAAAUCAUCAUAACAACGACAAACCACCAAAUGACAAAUAAUUAUUCUUUCUUUAACAUGCAAUAUAUACGCGACCAAAGCACGGCUAUCAAACUCAAAACCACAAUUUUUUUUAAAGAAAAAAGCCUCCUUCUGUGCCUCUAAAGAACAAAACACAAUACGUCUUUUACCUAAUAAUCUGUGUCAAUCCCUCAUUGUGUGCAUACCCAUUAAACUCUAAUUUUAUUCAAACUCUGUACGAGUAUGCGUUACCUUGAAGAAGGAGACAAUGGAGCAAAGGUUCUCCUUGUAAUCAUGUAGAGGGACAUGUUGAAAAGCAGAGCAUCUAUUGGGAAGACAAGCGUCAUUAGCCCCAAAGAAAACAGUCAAAGCAAUCGGAGCAGUUUCGGUUCCACUGUCACCGCCUUGUGACACAGGGAAAACCCUUUCUAACACCUUCAACACCCACCUCGUGUUGUACCCACUAUACCCUCUGAGCACCACAUCUGCCUGUUAAACAUUACAACACAAGCCUCAUUUAUCCUUUUCAAAAGAAACACAAACCCCAUUACAAAAAGAUUCAAACUUUACAUUAAAAUCUAAAAACAGAAUGUGGGUUGCAAUUAACUCAAAUUGUCGACCCCUUAUGGAUCUGGCUAUUAUGUAGUCACGCAUUCAUGAUAAUGGUGGCCGUUUGAUCAAGAUCAGACACUUAAGAUUCAAUUUCUAUAUUUUGAAAUAAAAAAUUUAGAACGAUCAACAAUGUCCCGAAUGCGUGAUUCCAAUGAGUGCACGGAAUCCAGUUUCACCACUUAUAAACUCAAUGUCAACGUGAGAUUCUUAACAAGACGAGACUAAUAAAUAAAUCACAUUACAAUUUGGGUUGCACCUAAUUCAACUCAAAAAGUAAGUAAAUAUUGUCCAUUAUUUAUAAACACAAACAUAUAAUGUGGAAUCUUAACAAGAACAUUAAACAGAAAUGAAAAUAUGAGUUGUUAAAGCAAAACAAAGCAAGAAUGGAUGUUACUGUGCGUGAGAAAAAGUUGGAAAGAGAAGCACCCCAUCCUCCAACAUCAAAGGAUUCCUCAGUGAUUGAGUCACCAAAAAGAUAUAUUUGUGGCCUCUUAGUCAUGUUUGAUCAUACAAUUGUAUGGUUGGACUUGGUGGGUUCAGUUCAGGUGAAAGAAAUGGAAGAGGGUCUUAGAUCAUAUAACUAUGUUGAUGCAUUAAUAAAGUAAAUAAGAUUCCACUACAAUGACUACAUUCUCAAUCACCAGAUAAAAAAUUAUAAAAUGUAUUUGGAGAAAUUAAAUUUUUAUUUGAAUAAAUAACCCUUAAAAAAAAAAAAUACCCACCUGCCCCUCCCGACAAUUUCUUAAAAAAAUAUAAGUUUUACUGUUCCUUCUAUCCCAUAUUAAAAUGAUCCAUUGGACUAUUUUACAUUGAGGUUACUUAUUAUGUACUCUAUGCUCUAUUCUAAAAUUUAUAAAUUAUUUCUUAUCUUUCAUUGUUAUAAAUCAUUUCUCCUCUUUUUUUCUUUUUUUUUUUUUUUGACAUAAGUUAUACAUUAUUUCUUACCUUCUAUCUUUCAUUUGUUUGCCAUUGCACAACUACCAAGUGUUGCUUAUGCAUUUCACACAAAUUCUUCACUCAUUCGUAUGCAACAUGUAAUGACUUCUCUCAAUUUUCAUUUGUUUGUCCUUGCAUGAUUCUUUCUCCAACAUGAAAAUUCAUUAAAAAAGGAAAAGCUUCCGACAUGAAAUGUAAGCUUAACUCCAUAUCCAAAUAAAUGGCUCUAUUUAACUGAAUUCUGAGAGGCUAAAUUGUAUAUAGCAUUAUACAAACUGUUCCAAUCUGGUUCAUUGACACUGAAGCACAACAAAUAUUCUUUGACUGAAAGAAAAACUAUUACACAGACUAACUCACAAUCAAUACAAACAAAACAAAAUGAAAUAUCUAAUACUUUAAGAGGGAAAAAGCAUAUACCACUUAGAGAAUCCUUAAAACAAAAGGAAGACCAAUACCAAGGUAAUGUACUCUAUUUACAUAUCAUUCAAUAGUAAUGACAACAGUACUAUAAUUUCCCAAAAGAGAUAGCCCUUUUGUACUACAUCAUCAUGUUACUAUACAGAAAUGCCUUCAGUGGGUCAUUAGGAUCAAUAUCACCUAUAAGGGGGAGAUCAACUGCCAUAGAUUCUAGAGUCAAACCUUCAUCUCUCAGUUUUCUGAUUACUUCUUCGAACACAAGUUGAUUCCCUCCAUUAGUGAGAUGCAAACCGUCACUGCAUUUCAGUAAACAAAAUUGAAUAUUCAUGUCAAAACCAAAAAUAUAAUACACACUUCGAUUAAUAGCUACUGUAGGCUAACAGAAAGAAAAAAACAAGUGAAAUCCAUGUAGACAGCAUCAUUAAUUAGCAUCAUCGAAACUGUGCAAUCUUAUACAGCAACCAAGCCUUAUCCCGCUAAGUGGAAUCGGUUACAUGAAUCAAAUGACGCCAUAGUGUUCUAUCAAAAUCUAUGUCUUUCUCCAACUCAUUUAUCUCUAGAUCCUUCCUAAUAGCUUCUCGUAUAGUUUUUCUAGGUUUACCACUACCUCUAGUGACCUGACUCCCCUCCAUUUUAUCUGUUAUACUUACUACAAAAUUCACAAGUCUUCUUUCUAUAUGUCCAAACCACCAAAGUCUAGUUUCUACCAUCUUUACUACUAUAGGUGCUACCCCAACUCUCUCUCUCUAAUGUCGUCAUUUUGAAUUCUAUCCCGUCUAGUCUUACCACACAUCCAACGCAACAUCAUCAUUUCUGCUACGCUUUAUGUUCGAAACAGUACAAUCUUAUGUUCUAUUAAUAUGAAACUUGCCCAAUUUUUUGUAAAUUACACAAUAAUUAAUUUUUCAGUUGUCUUUGCAUUUUUAAUCAAACCACAGUCACCAUAACCAUCCAAGAAUGACAUUAUUCUUUGCAAAUUCAUCAAAAUUGGUCAUUGUGGCAUAACAUAAGUCACAUAUAUAUGGCUACGGAAUUGAUCAUUUUGAAAACCAAGUCAGCAAUGAAAACUUCAUAAGCUUUCAUAUGAUGCCGUUAUGACAAAUCAACAAGAAUUCGGAUAAACUACAUGACAAAGCCAUCAUGUUCAUUAUCAUUUUAAAUUUAAAUGGUAAAUAUUGAAUACUGUUAACAUUGAGAUUCCAAAAUGCUUUAUGCAAAGAUAAACAUAGAAAGUAAAAUUUUGGAAACCUUAAAUAAUUUUUCUUCCAGUCAGGUGACUGUUGCAUUUUGGUCCAGAGAUCAAUCACAGGAACACGACAUUCAUUGGCCACAGCAAUGCAUGCUCUAGCAUACUCACCAGCAGCUUCAUUUGUUCUUUCAGGAAGACCCUCUGGAUUGUCCACAUACGGAUAUCUGCAAUAAAGUUUCAGAAAUUCUCCGAGUAUUACCUCUAUAGCAUUAUACAAUCUAAAUCUUACAAACGAAGAAAACCUAAAAUAAAAAAACGACAAAAUGAUGAAAAAAAGGUCAAUAAAGCAAUACCUAAGCCGUGCUUCCUCAUCAAUGGGAGGAGGAGUUACGAGGACAAUAUGAGUAGUUGGCCACCGCUUCUGAAAUUCAAAGGAAAAUUGUAAUAUCCAAUUAUACCAUUUAGACAAGAGGCCUAGAAUUGAAAAGAAAAAAAUAUAUAUUUGAUUUACGAGGUCAUUCUUUUUUAAGGGUGAUAAUUUACUGUGUCAUUCUAUUAUUUGGAUUAUUAGUAUUAUUCAGGAAGGAGAAUGCUAUUAUUUAUUCAAGGAUAGGGGAGACACUAGGCCAUUCUAUCUCUAUGGAUUAUUACAAAACUAAGCAGCCACUGUGCUAGCAUCCACAGAAUAAACAAGAAAGAACUUGCAUGACUUUUCCCGAUCAACUUUAACCUUUUUCUCAAGGAAGCCUAAGCUAAUAUUUUCAUCUUUUCUUGCUAAAAGAAGAAAGCAUUACAACUCUGAAUUUUAAAUUUUAUAUUCAUUUGAUUUUUUGUUUUUUGAGGAAAUUUGAAUUAAUACUCCAAUUUAUAAUGCUUUAAAUUUGUAAUGUUAUAUAUAUAGCACAUUUGAGGACGAGCCUUGGCACAACAGUAAUGCUGCUACCUUGUGAUAAGAUCACAAGUUAAAAUUCUGAAAACAUCUUGGUUUGUAGGGGUAAGAUUGUAUGCAUCUACUUCACAAGACCCCACCUGAUAGAAACCUCAUGCAAUUUAUUGUAAGCAAUUUAUUGCCCUUACAGACACUUAUAGACAUCUCAAUUAUACACAUAAAGGGUCGACAACUUUCUUAAUAGAAGCGUUAACAAUGAUCAACCUAUGAGCCAUGUCAAAAAAACUUUCUUCUAAGAAUGUUAUGCAGAUAUCUUUAUCCUUAAAAAGAGGGACCAUUCUUCCACUCCUAAAGUAAAUGUGGGUCUUCCCUAUUGCUAACAUGCAUGCCUACCUAACAGUUCAUAGGUGACCAGACCAAAUGAUAAUAUAAUUGCAUGGCCACCAAACAAUGACAGAGAAAAAAGACACAAUGUUUAGGUUGUGAAAACAACGUUAUGAUCCUACUCAAAAAGAAAGACAAUAAAAAGUGGACCUUUACAGAAGCAUCUCGUGCAAACUGCUAACUCCACUCCCACAGAAAAGCAUGGAAUAAAAAAAAUCUUUAGAGAGCGUAUUAUUGAUCACAACACAAGUGGAAAACAGUGAUAACUGAUAACCAAAGUCACUAUAGCACAGCCACUGCACGUGUGUUAAUUUGACAUCACCUAUUCCAAAAAGGCCCCACUUCUCCAAUUCAAUUCCUGAAACCCCACAAGGCCAGAACCAAUAUUUGGCUACCCCAGACAAUAUAUAUAAAUCAUCAUUAACAACCAACCACACCAAAUGACAAAUAAUUAGUCUUUUUGUAACACUAACAUGCAAUAUAUGCAAACAAAGCACGCUUAUCAAACCCACAAGGGUCAAAACUAAAUUUUUAACCUUUUGUGCCUCUAAAGAAACGUGAGUUACCAACACUUCAUGUUUAAUGUGUAUUUGGUGGUGUCACACAUGUGUCAGUGUAGAACAAGAAACUAACAUGUGCAGCUACAUUCAAUCCAAAUAUGUCAUUAACAAACUAUUUUAUUCAUUGAAAUUCAUAUGAUUCUCGUUAAAUUUACAUGGCCUGCAUGAUUUAGUAGAAUCUGUUUUAAUCUCAACCAAUAGAAUAGUAUAAUCAUAUGAGUCGGACACCGGAUAUAUAUGCCGUCCAUCAACCGCUAGUCUGCAUGCAUUCCUUCAUUCAACCACUAUCAAUUUUUCAAAUUAUUAUCCCUGUCCAUGUGUGUUUAGUCUAACAUCGCUGUCAAUACCGAACCUUUUUCAGGGUUUCAAUACCAUUAACAUAAAUCUUUUACCUGAUCAUUUUAUUCAAACCAGUGUUACAAUUAACAGCAUCCUUAUAUAUACAUACAUAAAAUAAAAUAAAAAUUGUCUUGAUACAAAUCUAUGAAGCACCAACACUGACAUCGGACAUGAUACAAACAUGGGUAAUAAUUUGAAAAAAUGAGGUAAUUGAAAAACAUUUGUCGGACACACUAAUCAUGAAGUGUCGGUGCCUGCUACGAAGCUACGAAAAUAGGUUACCUUGAAGAAGGAGACAAUGGAGCAAAGAUUCUCCUUGUAUUCAUGUAGAGGAACAUGCUGAAAACCAGAACAUCUAUUAGGCAGACAAGCAUCAUUUGCCCCAAAGAAAACAGUCAAAGCAACAGGAUCAGUUUCUGUUCCAUCACACUUUGACACAGGGAAAACCCUUUCCAAAACCUUCAACGCCCACCUUGUGUUGUAACCACUAUAUCCUCUUAGCACUACAUCAACCUGAUACACAACACAAUAACCCCAAUUACAAAAAGCUUCAAACUUUACAUCAAAAUAACAAAACCCAUCACAAGAAAAAACACAAAAGGAUGAAACAUGAUUGAUGGGUUGUUAAAGGAAGAACGAAAAAUAAUAAAUACCGUGCGAGAGAAAUGGUUGGCAAGAGAAGCACCCCAUCCUCCAACAGAGAAUGAAUCUUCAGUGAUUGAAUCACCGAAAAGAAAAAUCUUUGGCCUUGUCGUGGUCAUGUUGAUGCAGAAAUGAAAGAAUGAAUGGAAGAUCCACUAGAUAUAUAUAAUAGAGCUUCUCCUUCUACUAAUAAUGGAUAAUGAAUUACUUUUCGGUGGAAAAACUGAAAAAGACUGCAAAUGCACACAAAGACAAAGUAAUUGAAUUCAUUGAAGUGAAAGUGCACUGAAAAAGGUGCAUGCUGAUAGAGACGUAACCAAGGCCGGCGAGCGGUAGGGACACAAGGGCUCCAUCCUCGAUCUACAAAUAAUACAAUCAAUAUAAUUAGUAAGGCUUAAACCCUGAAGAUUUGGUCCCUUAACUAAAAAAAAGAUUGUUUGAGAAUUUUAAAUUUUUUUAGUCUCGUUUUGGUCCUUCUGCUUGAUUUCCGUUAGUUUUAAUAAAAAACGUUAAGUGUUGACACAUGUCAUUUUGUCAUUGGCUCUGAAUUUUUUUUUUUUACAAAAAAAAAUACUCAAAGCCAAUAACAAGGUGACACGUGUCCAGGAGUUAACUUUUUUUAAAAACCCUAAGGGAAACCUAACAGAAGGGACCAAAACGAGACUAAAAAAAAACUUAAAAUCCUCAAACAAUCUUUUUUUUAGUUAAGGGACCAAAGCGAUACCAAUUAAAUAGUUAAGGGACCAAAAGAGCAUUUAAGCCUAAUAGUAAUCAUAAACACUCUCUCUAAUAGUCACUCUCUUUGGCGGUUUAAAUCAUUAUAGGUCUGCACUUUAAAAAUUGAACAAACAAAGUGAUGGAACAUAUAUUGAUUUCAUCCAAUAAAAGAGUGAGUACCAAAGGGAGCGUUGAAAAGUGAGUGUUGCUAACAUUUCUUAUCAAUAUAAUAUGGGUUAAGAUGGAGUCUAUUUCGCAAAAUAAACUCUCUGUUUGUAACUUCGAGAGAGAUAGACAUAGACAAUAUAUAAUGAGUUCUACCAUUAGAUGGGUCCCACCAUCAUUAAUUAUAUUUUAUCUUUUUUAAAAUUUUAUAUGUUUGUUAUAGUUUUUAUACACAAAUUAAGAAAUGUAAUAAUAAUGUCAAAAGACAUACAAUUUUACUAAACUAACUUUAUUUACAAUUGGUGUAAGUCUUUGAAAGUAGUGUACACUCCAUUAAUUAUACUUUAUAAAAAAAAAAUAAACAAAACCUUUUAAAAAAUAAAGUUAAACAAAAGUUAAUUAUGACCCUCUCCAAAAAAAUGUUAAUAAAGACAACACAUUUUUUUGGCCAAAUACCUUCCUGACUCCUUUAAGUUUCACGUUUGUUUCGGAUAGGUCCUUUAAGUUUCUAAGGUUUUAGAUAGGUCCUUUAAAUUUUUAAGGUUUCAGAUAGGUCCUUUAAGUUUCGAGUUUCUUUCGGAUAGGUCCUUUAAGUUUUUAAGGUUUCAGAUAGGUUCUUUAAUUUUCGAGUUUGUUUCAGUUAGGUCAUUUCUAUCAAAUCAACUUUGGCUUAACGGAGGUUGAUAGAAAAGACCUAUCUGAAACAAGCUAGAAACUUAAAGGACCUAUCUGAAACAUUAGAAACUUAAAGGACUUAUCUGAUACAAACUCGAAACUUAAAUGACCUAUUUGAAACCUUAGAAACUUAAAGGAUCUAUCUGAAACAAACAUGAAACUUAAAGGAUCCGGGAAGGUAUUUGACCCUUUUUUUAAAAAAAAAACGUAACAUUUGUUGUUAUGCAGACGUGAGCAUAUAUUUUGUGUAAAAAAAAAUGUGCGCAUAUUAAUUAAACGUAACAUGCUUUUUUUUUGACAAAAGUAAACGAUAUUCAUUCAUUCAAAUUGAUAGAGUAUAUCGAUACAAUACAAAUCCAAAUCCGCUAGAAACAAAAAAGAUGAAUCUCUGAACAAACUCACAAUAUCCAUGUUAAUAGCAUAAAACGGCAAAAUAUCUAUGCCUACAAAUAUGACUAUAUUCAAGUCUCUAGAAUACUAUGUCUCUAGAUCUGCAACGUUGACGAAGUCAAAAGUCAUUGUCAUUGAUCGGAUCUGCACUUGCUCAAAGCUAGUCUUUCAACCUGAAUCAAAUAAACACCACACUAAGACGGGAAAUAAAAAACACACUGCAUAAAGAUGAAAAAUCAAAACAAACAGAGUCAUUCAGAGACGACGAAAUCACAAAAACAAUCGAAAGAAAGCAGAAAAUAUGUGAAAUCACUUAUUCAAUUAGAAUAGAAGGAAAAACAACUCGAAUGAGUAAUUUUUGGGUCAAAAUUGACCUUAAAUCACCCUUCUGAUAAAAAGAAGAAGAAAGGGGUGACGGCUAGGGAUUACAUAACAUGCUUCUUAAAAAAAAUAUUAAAGGUAACAUGUUUAUCUUAAACAUAGCAAUUUAUUACAAAGGGUAAAAAUAAAUUUUCAUUGUAAAAAGACCGUUAGCAAACGAGUUUUUUUUUCCGUCAAACGAACUUAUAAGUUAUCCACUAUAAACUAGCUUUUUGACAUUGUCAAACAGAGUCUAAGUAACUAAGCAACAAAAAGUUGUGUAAUUACUGCUAAGACAGAAAUAAAACUUGCAUUUCCAAGACAUAACUUGAAUUUCCUCUGAAUUGUUUUUCUCUUAAGACCUAAAAAUACGUCAAAGUCAUUGAUUUAAUCGGCAACAAUAUAUCAAAGUUAAAUUGUCAAUUUGAACCAAAUGAACAUCACAUAUGUCUAUAAAUCAAAAUAACGCCACAUACAAAUGACGAAAAUCACAGAAAAAAAAUUCAAUAUAUGCAAGUAGAGAGAAAAACAGUUUAAAUGAAUGAUUUAUAGCGAAUAAUUGAUCCCUAAACCACCUUUAUUGAUGGAUGAAUAAGAGGUGAAAGUUAGAGAUGAAAAUAAAAAAUGAGAGUGGAACCUAAUUUUUUUCUUAAACGAUACAUUUUAUCAUUCAUUUAUUAAAUGAAUUGCUUACCAUUUUCUAAAUUCUAUUUUGUCACUCACAUUUUGUGUUUCAAGUUUAUUUUUUAAAAUUCUUAACUUAGAAUAAAACGUCACUCACAUUAAAACAAGUUAAUCCAUUCCUUCGUUUGGAUGUUUAUAUGAGUAGAGAAGAUGUGUAUUGAAAUUUGCCUUGUUUACAAAGUUAGUUUGAAAAUAUUUUUCAAUUAUUUUUAUUAAACUCAAUUAUAUAGCGGAAUGGACUAACUUAUUUCAAAGCUAGUAAGUUUUAAAUCAACAUAAAACUUUUAAAAUAUAAUGAACCAAAUUGAAAGGGUGAUCAAGGAAGAUUUAGGUGGAUGGUGAUAUAAGGAAGAUUUCUUUUAAUAUUGUUUUCAUGCAAAAUUUAAAUGGUGAUUAGCACCUAAAUUGUUCAAAAUUUCAUAAAAUUGUCCAUAGUAAGUCAUCACAACAUUGCACAAAGAUAUAUAUCAUCGAUCACUAUUAUAAAUAAAAUUUAAUAUUUUAAAUUUAUUUAAUAAAUGAUUUAUGUAAUCUAUAUCAAAUAUAUUUAUAGAAUGAAUGUAUCUAAAAUAUCAAUUUUUAUUUAUAAUAACGACCUGAAGAUGUAUUUGGGUCGAAAAUUAAAAUAUUUGGGUCACCAACCCAUUAAUUUUCUCAUAUCACUUUCACUUCAACCAUAACCAAAACUGAACCGCUCUCACCGGAAUUCAGACACAGACACAGUGUCAACCACCGCACACGCAUCCCUAGAAAAGGUCCGUUCCAAUUUCCUUUACUCUCCAUACUUCAUAUUCUACUAUUUUCUAUUAUCCCAAUGCACAUAAUUACAUUUAAUUUCAUACCCUAAUUCUAUAAACAAUGUUAAUUCAACAAUUCAUAUAUCUCAAUUUUUGAAAUUAGGGUUCCUAAGCCUAAUUUUGCUUCAAUUCGACAAUUCUAUUCUAACCAGACAAUAUAUUUUGUAUGUGAAUGAUCAAGAAAUCGAGAUGCAGGGAAGAGUGAGGAAGGUUUCAGCUCGUGGUGAACCGGUAGCAGCAAACUACGCAUUCGGUCCUUCAAUAGACGAUGUAAUCAUUAAACACCGGCUUCUAACCCGAACAACAACAACUCGAGGCGAACCACCAUUGAAAAAGCUUCAAAAGAAGUUCACUUCUUUCGUUUCUGAGGUAGACAAAGAUGAAGACAAUUACAAUGACUGUGAAAAGCUUGCAAGAGCUUUUUUGCAAGAAUUGACUACUUUUGAGAUACCCCUUUUGAAGAGUAAAGCGAUCGUUGAAGCUAAUGUUAGAGAGAAGGAUAAUUUCAAUGAGUUGAAAGAUGAAAUGAAUCGACAGAUUGCGCAGGCGCAGGUUGAUAUUGAGGAUUUGAAGAAGCAGUUGGAGGAGAGUAAGGUUGAGAGAAGGCAUAAGGAGGAGUGUGAGGCUAUUAGGAAGUUGAUUGCUGUGCAGCCGCCGAGAUCCGAGACGCAAAAGGUUUUGAGUGAGUUAGAGAAGGAAAUUGCGGCGUUGGAUGCUGAGAACACUGCUGGUUCGAGAUUGUUGGAGCUGAGGAAGAAGCAGUUUUCACUUUUGUUGCAAGUGGUAUGUGGUAGAUAUUUUAGUUUGUUUAAUUGCUUUUGUGAUUGUGUGUUAUUUUGCCUCUUAGAAAUUUGCAAGCAGGAAUUUAACGUCAGCUCUGGGCCUAUUUGUGAUGCCUAAUUGUUUAACUAUUUCUCUUUCAAAAUGUUAUGUUAACGUAGAUGCUUACCCUUGUUGCCCUGUUUGGAUAAACAACUUAUUCGCAGCUUAUAACACAAGUGCUUAUCAUGGUGAGAUGUAUAGGUUAUUUCUAUAGCAUAAGCUAUCUUGGAGAACUUAUGAAAAUAAGCUAAAAGCAGCUCAUGAACAAUGUCAUAAGUUGUUUUCACAAGUUCUCCCAAAUAGUCUCACAAAACUUAUAUUGGUAGAUAAGCUCAAAUAAGCCAAUCCAAACAGGCCCUGAGGUUUAGAGAAUGGCAGAAUGGGCUUUAGUUAUGAAUGUCAUUUUUCUAUUGAAAAGGGAUUCUGGUGCUAUUGCAAAAGUAGCACAUAGCAAAAUCACACACUAUUUUGAAAUAGAGACAUUAUAUUUUAUACUUCUUAUUUUGAUUAUGAUAAUGAUAGCACUAUGCAGAUGAAGCUGUUAAUGUAAAUAAAAAAACUAAGAUCCUGUGUGGUUCUAGAAAAUGUUUUCUUCUUUCAUUUUUGUUUUCACCGAAAUUUAACUCGGUCUAAUGAACCUCAAUAGCAAUCCAAGUUCAACUGAAAUCAACCAUAAAAGAAAACAUCAAUCACUUAAAAACAUAUAUGGUUGAAGGAGAACUCAAUUUGGUACGAAUUGCCCAAGUCUGAGAAGCAAAGAUGAAUAGAACUAGAAUGCAACCUUAAUUAUGAAUAGCCUGUUAAAUCUAGAAAAUGGCAGAAUGCAGCCUCAGUUAUGAAUACUAGUUGAGAAGGGAUUUUGGCACAGUUGUAGACCGAAACUUAAGAUGCAUUUGGGAAGAGGGGUAGUUCUAGCUUACAAAGCAGUAUUUUGGUUAUUUGAUUGUGAUCUGCAUUAACCUUUUAAAAUCAUCUUAGAUGUUUUUAGAGUGUUAAAAAAUGGUGUUUGGGUUGAAAAUUGUCAAACCAAGUAAUCAUAUAUGAAUACAUUCAUAGGUCUGGAAGACUAAAAUAGAGAAGUUGUGAUUUGUGACUUUUUAGUUUAUUGCUUGAAAUGGUUAUGCAAUUUGCUAGGCUCUUGUCAAGUUAUAUAAUAUAUGUUGACAAUAAAAUGCUUCCAUCUUUAGUUAUUUCUCUUUGAAGAUUUUUUAGUCGGAAAUUCCAUCCUUAGCUUCCUAAUUUCCUAAUGUAAUAAAAUGUGGACAUGUGUUUUUCUCCGAUGGCAACAACCCACAUGUGACAUUCUGAAAAGAGUUCAAUGUAUCAUUCAAUCAUUCUUAAUCUCGAUAUAAUCUGUAAUUGCCGGUUUCCCUUUUAUUUAUUUAUUGUUUUGUAGUGUGCAUACCUGUUGGAAGUACAAACUGAAACUUUUGAAUUUAGUUUUAGUCAAUAGUGUUUCAGCUGAAUCAUUUUUGUUCAAGGAUUUCACAAUAAGUUAUAUAUUUUCUAUGUAUCUUUUACUUCUCAUGUCAUAUGAACUUGUUUUUCCGAUAUUUUCUGUUUUUCAUUGGCUAUGUUAUGAACUGCCAAUAUCUUGAUGGCAAAUUCUCCUCCUUAAUUUUCUUGCAGGUGGAUGAGUUGCAGAAUACAAUAGAGGAAGACCAAAAGAGUCUAGUCGAGGAGAUGAGAUUAGCAACUGAGGAGCUCAAGAAUGGGAUGGAGGACGCAAGUGGGGGGUCAGAUGCAAUGGCAGUUGACCAUUAGAUUGAAAGUCUCAUUGUUGUAUCAUUUUUUGUUUUCAUAUCGUGAUUAGGAAUCAUAUGUAAAUGAAAUAUCAAUGUUAUUUUGCCAGUGCUUAGAACUUUGUACACUUGCAUUUUGAUGGGGGUUUUCUCUGAAAUUUUGUUGUGUAACAAUAUAUUCAACAUUGUUGCGUCUUUUUCACUAUUUUUUUUUUCCCUUCUCCUUAUCGUUUUUUCACCCAAAGGAUCUGGUCAAUUAUACUCCUAUGUAUCAUGAACAAAACCAUAUAUGGGAAUGGAUAUGAGAAUUUUAAAAGUAUAUACUAAAUUUUUUCUGAGUAGUUGGAAGUAUCUAAAAUCAACUGUGAUGAGGCUAAAUGAUCUUAGAAGCAAACAACUUGAGGCACAAAUGCACCGCCCUUAUUUUUGUGUAAAUUGGGUAUCCUCCGCGCGCACAUGCGGAGCCUAAUGCAGUUGUUUGUUCAUAUAUCUAUCAAAAUAUAUUCACACAACAAAAAUUUACUCUCUUUUAUAUUCUUCUCCCAUUUUUAUAAACUUCAAAUGAAUCUAUUUUUUAGGCAACAAGUAAAUGAUAAUGUUCAUGUUCUUGCUUGCAAAAGUAUCUACCAAUUACGCUACUCGCAAUAUUUUUAUGUGUACUCCUCAUUGUAUCUGGAACAUUGAAUGAAAUGCUUUGAUUUUGUUUGCGUAAUUUUUUUAUUUUUUUUUAUUUUUUAUUUUUUAUUUUUUUUUUGCAAAGGACUUCAAAGGAAUCUUAAGUUUAAAACACUUUAUUUUGUGAUAAAUAUUAAACAAAAUUUUUGGAUUACUAAAUCAAUGGCUACGAGGUGUCUGAUUUUUCCUUUUCACAUUUUAGGCGACGUUCAAAUUUAUUUAUUUUCUAACAGUUUAGGUGACCUGAAAAUAAUAGAGUAAAUUGACUAAAAAAUGUUGGAUGUAAUUUUAAAAAAAAAAAAGGGUUAACUAAGUAAAUCAUAGUUAUAAAUUUCAAAAUUUCGUUUUUAAUCUUUAUAAAAAAAGUACUUUUUUGUCCUUGUAAUAUUUUUUUUUUAACAUUUUAAGGACAAAAAUGUUUGACAGAAAAUUUUACAGUAUCAAGUACAACUUUUUUUGUAGAGACUAAACGAAAUUAUCAAGGUUUUUUUUUAGAUUACCUUUGAAGAAUGGUGGGUAAUUUACCCACCAACUAAUGAAAAUAAGUAAUUUGUUGGUGGGGUCAAGAUAGUUCAUGGAUACCACUUAAAAAUGUGCUUAUGUGCCUAAUGUGUAUUGGUUGGGGUAAAUUAUCCAACAUUCUUCCAUGGGUACCCUAGUUGUCACCAAUUAUCAAAUAUCCACCCAAUGACAUUGAAUUUAAUGACUUUGUUUUUAUAUCUCUUAAUCAAUCAUUUUCUAUAAUCAAAAUAAUUUAUUUUUAUCAAUCAAUUUAUAUCAAUUAAAUACAAUAAAAUCAUCAAUACGUCACUAAAACUUAUUGACAUCCAAGUAUUUUCCAAAAGUGUCACAAAGCACAACUCUAGUAAAUGACAUUAACCAGACAAGUAACAUAGGAUCGCGAAUCCUCAUACAAAUUCUCUCCGGCAAUGUCACUCAUUGAGAAAAGAUGAAGAAUGGAAUAAUAUUCAGACCUUUCUUCUUCUCUCGUAGAUUCCUUAGUUCCCUAUUAUCACCACAUCAACCAUUUUCACAAAACCAUGAUUUUAUUCCUCCCUCCACCUUUUUCUCCAACACUCUUCAACACUACAUUAAUUCCCAAACCCCUUCCCACGGCCAAAAGAUCCAUUCCCACAUUCUCAAAACUGGGUUUGUUCCAAACACAAACAUUUCCAUCAAACUCCUUAUACUUUACAUUAAAUCUCAUUCUUUAAGAUAUGCACGUCAAGUGUUUGAUGAUUUGCAUGACAGAACUUUAUCCGCUUAUAAUUAUAUGAUUGGCGGGUAUUUAAAAAAUGGGCAAGUUGAUGAGUCACUUGAUUUAUUUCAUCAGCUUUCAGUGUCUGGUGAAAAGCCUGAUGGGUUUACGUUUUCGAUGAUUUUAAAGGCGUCUACAAAUAGGGUUAGUAAUGGGAUGGUUGGUGAUCUUGGAAGAAUGGUACAUGCACAGAUUCUUAAAUUUGAUGUUGAGAAAGAUGAUGUUCUUUGUACUGCGUUGAUUGAUUCUUAUGUUAAGAAUGGGAGGGUUGGUUAUGGAAGGACUGUGUUUGAUGUGAUGUCGGAGAAGAAUGUAAUAUCUUCAACGUCACUUAUUUCUGGUUAUAUGAAUAAAGGCUUUUUUGAUGAUGCUGAAUAUAUAUUUCGGAAAACAUUGGAUAAGGAUGUUGUGGUGUUUAAUGCUAUGAUUGAAGGUUAUAGCAAAGUAUCUGAAUAUGCUAUGAGAUCUCUUGAAGUUUACAUUGACAUGCAACGGUUGAAUUUUAGGCCGAAUCUUUCCACAUUUGCUAGCAUAAUUGGUGCUUGUUCUGUGCUUGCAGCAUUUGAAAUUGGGGAACAAGUUCAAGCUCAGCUUAUGAAAACGCCUUUUUUUGCAGUCAUAAAGUUAGGAAGUGCGCUUAUAGAUAUGUAUUCCAAAUGUGGUAGAGUCAUAGAUGCUCAAAGAGUUUUUGACCACAUGCUUGAGAAGAAUGUUUUUUCAUGGACGUCUAUGAUCGAUGGAUAUGGGAAGAAUGGAUUCCCUGAUGAAGCACUUGAGCUGUUUAAAAAGAUGCAGAUUGAAUACAGCAUCACACCCAAUUUUGUGACGUUCCUUAGCGCUCUCACAGCUUGUGCGCAUGCUGGACUUGUGGAAAGGGGUUGGGAGAUCUUUCAGAGUAUGGAGAGUGAAUAUAAACUGAAGCCGAGGAUGGAGCAUUAUGCUUGCAUGGUUGAUCUAUUAGGACGAGCCGGGUGGCUGAAUCAGGCUUGGGAGUUUGUCACAAGGAUGCCUGAGAGACCAAAUUCGGACGUGUGGCUUGCUUUACUUAGUUCAUGCAGAAUCCAUGGUAAUAUAGAGAUGGCGAAAUUAGCUGCAAAUGAGCUUUUCAAGCUGAAUGCUUAUGGAAGACCGGGGGCAUAUGUUGCAUUAUCUAAUACCUUGGCAGAUGCUGGGAAAUGGGACAAUGUAAGUGAGCUUAGAGAAGUAAUGAAGGAGAAAGGAAUAUCCAAGGACACUGCCUGUAGUUGGGUUUGAGCUAACAGUGCUUGUAUGUUCUUGUGAUGAAUUCAAAGAUGCACAACAUCAUAACUAAGUUUUGAUAUGCUUCUGACAAUAAUGUAAACUCUUAAAAAGAAAUAUAUACGAAACAAGAUGUUCAAUGAAGUGGAGAAGCAAUGGUGUUUCUAGGAGGUAGUUGCAGAUAGUAUGGUUCAAGGAGGUUAAUCCUAAUUGACAGAAAAAGAAGGGAAAAACUUAAGCAGAAUUGUUGACUAUCUUGAAUAAAGUUGAAGUCAAGCCCUGCUGCUUAAAAGAGAUAGGUUUUUUUUUUUUUUUUUUUUUUUGCAGUAGGUAGACAUAGGAUUUGGACUUUUAAAUUAAAAAACUCCAAAUAUUGUUAAUCUGAUCCAUAUUAAGUUCGGGAUCACAGUGAAAGAAGUACAGAUUAAUAUAUGGAUUUAGUUAGUUUUUAUCUAAUCCAUGAAGUUGAUAAAUUUCAUGACAGCAGCCAGUCGUAGAUACUUUAAAAAUGUAUUUUUUCGAUAGAUCUUUCCUUCAAUUGUUUUUUUAAUGAUUUGUAUCAGACGACGUAGUGCAUAUUUAGAAUGACGGCGAAUGUAGCGGAAUUAUGGUGUGUCAUUGUGUUUUACUAAAAAUUACACUUUUGAACCUCAACAAAAUUACCAUGUCAGUAUAAUUUCGUCAAACUCAUUCUAAACAUGCACUUACUAACAAAUACUCCUUACAAUGAAACAAUCUUGGCAUCACAUAGUUGAAAUUGCAUUUUCAAAGUUUGAUUAUGUACAAAAAUAAUAAUAAAACCUGAUCCAUAAUUAGAAGAAAGAAAGUGGCGUGAAGAGAGAGGAAUGCUUGUAUCAACGUGGACUUUAGGUAUUGGUAACCAACCAAUGCUGUUUCUUUCUUGGAACAGGUUCAAAAUCUAGGUGGCUACUUUCAUUUCACUACGUGUACCCGUUUUUUUAUUUUAUUUUGGUAGAAAAUUUUAUUUUGUUUUCUCUACUAAUUUAACUCAUUUUAUUAAUAUUUCUUGUUCUCUCCGUCAACUAUAUAGUACUAGUAUAUAUUAUAUAUAGCCUCCCAUAAUUUAACAACUUCAAGCCUUUAGGUAAAUAGCCAUGUGUUGCUGUUGUGGUGAAGAUUGUAAAUUCAGGCCUCUUGGAUUUCUCCUAGGCUUGCCUUUUGCUUUCUUGUCUCUCAUAAUUUCUCUUGUAGGUGCAGUUAUUUGGAUUGUUGGGUAAGUCCCUCUCUUUUCCCAUCUAUUAGCUAGCUGUAGUAUUUUCUUUGAAAAUAAUAAUUGAGAACAAGUUAUGAAUGUGUUUGAUGCUAUAUAAUGGCAGGUUGACUUUGACAUGCAUAUGUCCAUGCUGUCUUUGCGUGACCCUCAUAGUUGAAUUUGCUCUGGCUCUCAUCAAGGCUCCAAUUAAGGUUAUGGAGUGGUUCACAUCCAAGAUUCCAUGUUAGAAGAGAUAUUUGUAUUUUUAUUAGACUUUGAAGUUACAUGGUGCUAACUUUAGUACUAUUCUUUUGUUGAUUAUCUUUUAGCUUGAUUCAUGCAUUAGUUUAAACUAUUAGUACUCUCCUUGUCCUAAAAUGAAUUUUAAUUUAUCAAAAAAAAAAAAAAAGAAUUUUAAUUAGAAACUUUCACUUCAACUUAACUUUCUCUUCAGCCUAAUUUUGAGCAAAGAAAGAAACAGUAUUCUAUCACAUAAGUUUGAUUGAUUGUAGGACUUAUUAAUGUUGAAAAUGUUUUUGUCUUUUUUUCUCUUAGUGGUUUGUAUCUUUCUUUCAAAUUAGCAAAAUAUUCAAAGAUGAAAUGAGCUCCCGAACUGUUAGUUUUGGCUUGUAUCCUGUUAUUGCGUGUACACUUCAUAUAACCUCUGUUUCACUUUCAAGCAAUAUAGAGGAUGAAUUCAAGUAUUUAUCUCCAACUUUUGUGUUUAUCGGAUUUGUAUCAUUUAGUUUAACCUUUCCUUUUUUAUACUUUGAUGCUAACAAUAACGUUUCUUGUAUUUCCUAAUAUCUACAAAAACAAAAUAUUUGUAAGAAUUGAACCCAUGACCUUCACUCAUACAUAUAGAGAUCAUUACAAUUAUUGGGCUGUUUUUUUAAUAGAAGACUUCAUGUAUAAGUAUAACAUCCAUAACUUAAGAAUGAAUUUUAUAAUAUGUUUAGAAGGCAAAUAUGUUUUUCAUCCUUACACAAUUUUUAAAUGUUGUUUUCCUUCCUCAUAAAAAAUAAAUCACACCUUUCAAAAAAAUAAAAAGAAUUCACACUUUUUUUUAGAUAAACGAAAUGACAUGACAGUUAUUAUAAAUCCACUCACAUAAGUGAAGGAGUCGAGGUUCUUACUCUGAUUACAACAUUUGACCUAAUAAUUUUGACAUUUUCGUCAGUUGAGUUAGGACAUGUGGACUCACACUUUUUUAUUAUUACAAAUAUAUUUAAAUUUUUGCUGGGAUGUGUAGAAAACAAAAAAAUCUAUAAAAAACACCAUGCUUUUUUGAUAACUAGAAAUACUAGCUAUUUAACUUUUACUCAGAAAAUAUAUUUACAAACUUAUUAAAAUAAUGUAAAGUUUUGCGUAAUAUAAAUUAGGAGUUAAUCGGUGCCUCCGGAGCACUGGUUAAGGAACCUAAAAAAAGAAAUUUUAAAAUAAAAAUAGCACUUUUCAUGUUUUUGAUGAGUUGACAACAUAAAUUCUAAUGUAAUACUUACUACAUUUGCUUUCUUAAUCAAUGCCCUGAGACACCGGUUAACAUUGUCCUAUAAAUUAACCAAAGAUCAAAAUUUUACUCAAUACGUUUUGAUAACUAGUGAUACUAGCAAUUUAACUUUUUUUUUUUAAAUAACCAAACACCAUGUUUAUGUCUAGAAGGCAUUUUUCAUUCAUUGCAUAAUGGUUUUAAGUCGUAAGUGUGAGUGAUUAAAAAGACAUGUAACCACAUUAUGUUAGAAAAUGUACUAGCUUCUUUUCUUCAAAUCGAAUAUAUCUGUCUUGAGAAGACCAUUAUACCUAGAUAUAUACCUAGCUUUUUUAAGGGAUGAUACGGCUACAUCACAUUAAGUUAAUUCGCUUAAUCCAACCAUUUUAAUAAUCAAUUGCAUACGAGAUAUUCUCAAUUCCACAUAUUCACUUGGCAUUCUAAGUUAUAUCAAAUGUUAAGAAUGAUAAAUCAAAGAUAAAGAUCAUAUUUACAAAUAAUUAAUUGAUUAUUUGGUCAUUCGUUUAAUCUUUUAACUUAAUUUUUUUAUCAAUUUAAACCUCAAUACGUUUUUGUUUAUGAUGUAUCGUUGUUGUCAUUAAAACUCAGUUAAGUCAAAAGGAUAUCUUCUUCACAUCAUAAUAGAAGUGUGAUAAAACACAUUAUCAAAAUACGAAAAAUAUUAUUACCAUUUUUUUAUUAUAAUUUAUUUUUAUCUCAUUCAAGCAUUUGACAAAUCCUCGAUUACCAUAAAAUAGAAAGUGAAAUAUAUUAAUUUGAGAGUAAUGUGUAUAUUAUUAAUUAAAUAUUAAAAGUGAAAGUAAAUAAAUUAAUGAUUUUUGCGUCGUUAAUGUUGUAGAUUUAAAAACAUGAUUAUUUUGGUGGCUUGAAAAUAGUUGUAUUUGUAGGAAUAUAUUCAUUGUCAUUUUAUGUUAUUAAUAUAAAUAUUGUGAAUUUGUUCGUAGAUUCAUUUUUUUUGUUUUUGAUGACUUUGAAUUUGUAUUGUAUAGAUAUACUCUAUCAAUUUAAACUAAUUAACAUGACACUUAUUUUGAAAAUAUUUUUUUUUCAACCAACUAGUGUUAUUAGAUCUUGCUAAAGGGACUGUACUGUUGUAGCAAAUCAAUAUUUAAAUCAUGACUGAGAGGAGAGAGGUACAUACUUUAAUGGUCCGGCGACGCAUCUUGUCAUGGAGAGAACUUAUAAAAAACAAAAAAAAAAUAUCAUUCCAAAUAAAAAAUCAUGUGUUGCAAAGAGAAGUUAGAGGGAAAGAGAACACUUUGUCAAUGUUGAUAUGUAACUCAACCUUGUGCAACCGACAUCUCAUACGGAUUACGACUAUAAAUCGUCCAACUUCUACUUUAUCAUAGAGUGUGUUAACUUGUGUAAUAUUCAAUCCCCCGUGCAUAUAGUUUAGUUGAUGGUGACUUGCAUUGUUAUAAAAAAUUAUUUAUUCUGAUUUUUUUCUUUAAUUUUCUCUAUGUUUUCUUAAUUUGCAAUGAUAAAUAUAUAUAAUAUUUUUAUGUUUAUUAGUAAUCCAUCCCGUGUUUUUAAGCAUAUGUAAAAAAUAUAUUUCUUAUCAUUUAUAUUUGUCCACAAAAAAAAAGUGUCUUUUUUAUGUAUCAAUCACAUAUAUGUGUUGAGUUUUGUUAACGAGUGUCUCCGAUCCGGACACUCUUUAAGAAGAAUUUUGCUCUUCACCCAGCACAAAACACUCGCAUCCUGCAGGGUGCGAGUUAACUAGCGCAAGUGUAAAUACAUAUAUUUUAUUAAUAUGAUUCAAACAUUACAUAUAUUUUACCCUCUUCGGUAUAUAUCAAUAGCUCUUGGGGAAAAUAGUGAUCCGUCUUGUAGGGGAAAACGACAUCAAGAUCCCUUGAGUUAAAUUUAAAUUUGGUUCCUUUUAUACCCCCAUGAUGAUUCUUUUUACCCACGGUAAAAAGAUUUUGGGAGUAAAAGGAAGCAAACCUAAUUUUACCUCAAGGGAUGAUGUCUUUUUCCCCAACCUAACGGAUCACUACUUCCUCAAAAGCCACCGAUAUUUACCUAAAGGGGUGUAAAGACCCUAGAGACUAUAGAAACCAAGAAGAAGAAGAAGAAGAAGAAGAAGAAGAAGAAGAAGAAGAAGAAGAAGAAGAGAAAGAGGGGGAGAGAGUUGGAGGAGAAAAUGUAAGGAAAAGAGGAAGUAUGUGAGAGUUUUUCUAGGUGGUAUAAGGUAGAUAACACUUAAUGAGGUUCAAAAACGUGUGGAAAAAAAAACGUGUAAAAAGCAAUCAAAAGCAUUGACCACCGUCCCAAAAACGUUUGUGCUUCAGUUUUUACCACCGGCCAACUUGCGCAAGUUAACUCGCGUAGAGGCUCAGUGGGGCGUGACUUAAGUCACGCAGAGCUUGUGAAGUGCGUGAGUUAAGUCACACAGCGUGACUUAACUCACACAUGGUUAUAUUUGAAAAACAUGCAGGGCGCGAGCGAAAUGUGCUGGGUGAAAAGCAAAAUUUCAAUUAGAAUUCGAAAAGAUGAAAUUAUUUCAUAAAAAGUUAAAUAUUACAAUUUUCAAUGCAUUGAUUACAUAGAUUUAAAUACAAUAAAGAGUAUCGCAGAAACACUCGUUAACCUUUUCAUAUGUAUUCUUUUGUGAGAACAAUGUUAAUAACGAGAAAACCUCAUAUAAAGAGAAGUUAUGUUAGAAGCUCUUCCAUCCUUUACCACCUACCUUCUUAACUCAUCCCACUAGUGAUGAAUCCAGAAAUUUUAAUAAGAGGGGCCAAUAUCUAUUUAUGAUAAAUAUUUAUAUAAAAAUAUGUAAAUGCAAGUGGCAAAAGUAUGACCUCGUUAUCAUUAAAAAAUUGAAGAUUUAAAAAGUUAUAUAAUUGUAUAUUCAAAAUUUAAAUACACCUUAAAAUCGAAGAAUUAUAAUUGUUUUAUACGUGUUCUCAUAUUUUGAAAAUGUUUAAGAUUUUUUUCUUUUCAUUUACAACAUUAUUAAAUAUAUCAUUUUAGAUGUAUGUUACCGAAAAAUAACUCAAUUUUUUACGUAUGUUACCAAACAGUCCCAUUUACUAAACAAGUUGGCCUUAGUUUUUUUUUUCUUUUCUAUCCUUUAACAUACAAACUUAUUACUUUCAAAAUACGAUAUACCUACGAAAGAUAUCAAUAAUUUCAUUUUUUAAAUUCUUAAUAACUGCCUUUAACAACACCCAAAUUAUAUAAUUUGUUUUCGUAUAAAAUGUGAAGAGAAGCUUAUUUUAAAGUUGAUAAAGGAAAAGUUCAUUAAAGUCGUCAUUUUUAUAACCUAUGAUUUAAAUUUAGGCUUGAGUUAUGUUCUAUAAAGCACGGAUACAAUACAUAUUAGAUAUGAUGAUAUUUUUUUUUGAAGGAAGGAAUGUCAAACGUUGAAAAAUAUAGAAUAUGAUAUAUUUAAGAUUGGUAUAUAAAAAUUAAAAUAAAUUUUGUUUGAGGGUAUAAAUUAAACAUCAUUAUUAGUUAAAGAAAAACAAAUCUAUCCUGUUAAGAAUCGUUAAUUGUGUUUUGCUGAUUGUGGUGGUAUCACGGAGGAGCUCAGAAAACAAAACAAAACAAAACCCAAACAAAAUAUUAUUAUUUAUUUCUGGAAAGUUUGAAUCUUGUUCUUAAAUCUAAAACUCCAUCCAGUUCGUGUAGAUCUCUCUCGGUAAUAGCACGUGAUUCGUGUAUAUCUGAAUUUUCCCCUGAACUGAAUUUUAGGGGGAAAAUUGGGGGUUUUGGAAAAUGAGGCGUAGAGCAACAGAUUUUCGAAGGCCAGUACGGAGAAAGGUUCCUGAUGCAUUGUGGUGGGCAUUAUGCUGUGCAGUUAUUCUUCUAUUUAUCUAUAUUCUUACAAGAGGGACUCAAAUUGAGUCUAGACCACCUUUGUCCAAGGUAUUUUAUUGCUUUUUCCAGAUCUCUCUUCUCUUCUUGUUUGCUCUGCUGAAAAAUUUGUAUGAAAACCCAUCUAAUUUCUAUUUACUAGACUAAACAGCUAGAUUAUAUUCUCACUUCAACUCAAUAAGUUAGGAUAAGAUGUUUCUAUUUACAAUCUCAAUAAUUUAUAUGGAUGUGAAAAAUUGAAACAUAAGUUCUUUAGAGCUUAGCUUAUAGUAUGCUGAGAUGAUGUUGGAAAUUCAUUUUGUUUCCGGAAUUAUGUACCAUGUGCUAGUUGACUAUAUAUGCCUUUUCAUUUUUCAUUUAUCGGGUUGUGCUCAUAUGUUACUUGUUAAUUUCUUAUAUUUCUUGUUUUCGGCUCAACUGGAUUUGUGUGAGAUGUGAGUUGAAUGGAAUUCUACAUCAGAUUUGUGACAUCACACGACAAUUUAAAACUCGGUAUCCAUGUUUUGAAAACUCAGUAUUUGAUCCAAGAACUGACUAAUCCGAGGGUACCAAUCCCUAUUGCGGGGGACCCAUUUAAAGCCAGAGCAAAGUUUUGUAUGGACUUGCCCGCCGAAAUUGGCACCAGGGGAAAUCGAACCUGAAACCUUGAGAGGAGCAUACUCCAAGAUUCCAAGCCAACCACUAGGCCAACCCCACAAUUUGCAAGUUUUUAAUACAUCACAUUGUUAUAUUUUCUUUAAAGUUACUACAAUUAUAUGAAGAGCUUAUUGGUAAAUGUUUUGCAAUAGGCAGAAUAGUGAUACUUCCAUGUGUUCUCUUGUUGCAAGUUAUGUCAGGCGCAUUUCAUUUCCGUACUAUAGAGAAAAACUAUUUUCCACUAAAUAUCAUUUUUCUUCAUAAUUUCAUUUAUAGUAUUGGAACUCUAACAGAAUAAUGCGUAGAUCAUAAUAGUACUUAAUCUUGCUUAAGUAAUUGGAACAUAGCUUGCAUGGCAUGCUUAAAUUCUUAUUUCAAAGCUGGAAUAUUAUAUUAGGGGUCCUUGUUUAGCCAAUAACUUCUUGUAACAUGUUGUGCAGAGAACUUACAAAAAUGAUAGGAUUAUGGAAGGCCUUAAUAUUACCGAAGAGAUGUUAAGUUCCGACUCGGUGACCAGACAACUUAAUGAUCAGAUAUCCCUAGCUAAAGCUUUUGUUGUAAUUGCAAAAGAAAGCAACAAUCUCCAAUUUGCUUGGGAACUAAGUGCUCAGAUCCGCAAUUCACAGAUUCUUCUCUCAAAUGCUGCCACUAGGCGUUCUCCUUUAACAACCAGAGAAUCAGACAGUGCUAUCCGAGAUAUGGCUUUAUUGUUAUACCAGGCUCAGCAGCUCCAUUAUGACAGUGCAACUAUGAUCAUGAGAUUCAAAGCAAAAAUCCAAGCCCUUGAAGAACAGAUGAAUUCUGUAAGUGAAAAGAGUUCAAAAUAUGGACAAAUAGCGGCUGAAGAAGUACCAAAAAGCUUAUACUGUCUGGGUGUCCGGUUGACAACUGAAUGGUUCAAAAACCUCAAUUUGCAAAAGAAAUUGAAGGACAAAAGGCAAGUGGAGAUGAAGAUUAAGGAUAAAAAUCUUUACCACUUUUGUGUGUUCUCUGAUAACAUCAUUGCAACUUCAGUCGUGAUUAAUUCAACUGCAAAAACUUCUAAAAAUCCCAAUAUGAUUGUUUUUCACCUUGUCACUGAUGAAAUAAAUUAUGCUUCGAUGAAGGCGUGGUUUGCCAUGAAUGACUUUCGUGGGGUGACUGUGGAAGUUCAGAAGUAUGAAGACUUCUCAUGGUUAAAUGCUUCAUAUGUUCCUGUGCUUAAGCAACUUCAAGACUCAGAAAUACAAAGCUACUACUUUUCCGGAAACAGUGAUGGUGGAAAGACACCUAUCAAGUUUCGUAACCCUAAAUAUCUGUCCAUGCUUAACCACUUGAGGUUCUAUAUCCCUGAAGUUUUUCCUGCCCUGAAGAAGAUUGUGUUCCUGGACGAUGACGUCGUGGUUCAGAAGGAUCUCUCUGAUCUUUUUUCAAUUGAUUUGAAUGGGAAUGUUAAUGGAGCUGUUGAGACAUGCAUGGAGACAUUUCAUAGAUACCAUAAAUACUUGAACUAUUCUCAUCCUCUUAUAAGAGCUCAUUUUGAUCCCGAUGCAUGCGGAUGGGCAUUUGGGAUGAAUGUAUUUGAUUUGGUUGAAUGGAGGAAAAAGAAUGUAACUGGCAUCUACCACUAUUGGCAGGAAAAGAAUGUAGAUCGGACAUUGUGGAAACUCGGCACUUUGCCACCUGGAUUGUUAACAUUUUAUGGACUAACAGAACCCUUGGAUCCGUCAUGGCAUGUACUGGGUUUUGGCUACACAAACGUUGAUCCUCAGUUGAUAGAAAGAGGGGCUGUACUGCACUUCAAUGGGAACUCCAAACCUUGGUUGAAGAUUGGGAUUGAAAAAUACAAGCCCCUAUGGGAAAAACAUAUUGAUUACUCUCAUACCUUUUUGCAGCAAUGCAACUUUCAUUGAUUUUGAAUUGAGCUUUAAUUGGAACUUCAAAGUUCAAACCUUGGUGGAAGAUUUGGAUUCACAAGCACUAGUCACAAAUGGUGUAUAUUGGAAUAAUACAUCAUUGACCAUUCCAUCCAAUCCUCUAUUGCAACAGUGAAACAGUUAUUGACUUGUGGAGCUGAGAGGUUUAUUGAUCCUUAGAUGCAAAAUCCAAUUGAGGUAUUCAUUCUGUAGUAAAAAAUGGUUUUACAAUUUUAAAAGGUUAAGCAUGUUUGGUGGCUAUAACAUGGCGUAUUCAUUGAUUCCGGAUCUUCAGUUGUAGCAUAUGGAUGUCCAUUUCUGUUAGACAAUAUCAGCUCAUAGUUUCUUCUUUGUGAUUUUAGUCAGAGUUGAGAUCUGCUGUAAACUUAUUAUUGUCCCUUAUUACCACUAUUCUUCAUUGCAAGACCAGAUACAUUGUUAAUUAACUACUACAGCCUUCUUGCUACUGUUACUGACUUUCUUGAUCCAAAAAGAAACUAUGAUUAGAGUUUUAUGGAUCUUUUUAUCGAAACUAUCUUGCCUAUGUAUUCUCUAAUCAUGAUAUUCAAUAUCCUUUUGUUGUUGGUGUGGAUUAUUUUAUUUGAUUGUCUCUCAUGUGCUAGGGGUCAUGAACUCAUGAUAGAAAUGAAAGAAACUUUUUAUUCAUUCACAUUUACUCAUACAUUUUCGUUCACUUGAUUUUUUAUUUUUUUAUUUUUAAUAAUAAGGUCUAAUCAUCAUAGCAUAGGGUCUCCAACGCCUACAAACACACAAAUGGGAAGAGGGAAGGGGUGUUGUGGUUCAACCAGCAAUGACACACUACUCAUGUCUUUGUUUUUUUUAAUGGCAAGUGUUAUUAGCUAAUUUGUUAUAUUAAUAUUUAUUCAUUCGUCCGGUUUAAACCCAUGAUCUCCAACUUAUUUUCCUUUAGUUUGUUAAAUUACUUUUUUUAAUUGACUCAGUAAUUCUUAUUACCUGAAGUCCUGAACUAAUGUUACCGUUACUUAUGAAGAACUAUCCAUUGUAUGUAGUGAUUCAAAUAGUUGAGAUUGCUUGACAGAGCCUAUGUAUUAGCAUAUUAUAAGGUUAGAUUAGAUGACACUUUUUCGCAUGAACUUUGUAUUACUUAAUUAGAUUGGAUGUCAGACUCAUAAAAAGAUUGACAGUCUAGAUAAUAUCUUAAAAAGAUCAGACCAUAAUUACCAAAAAUCUAUUAAAGGUAACAUAUCAUAUUUGAGCUCUUUUUUUUUUUGACAAACAAUCGUAUUUUUACUUGAGUCUUACCUUACAAAAGAUAAACAAAUACAUAAAAAUAUGAAAAAAUAAAAAAUAACUAGACAUACCCAUGCCCAUGCUUUGUGCGGUGGAAAAUGAAAUUGAAAUAAUUUGUGCAGAGUAUAAAAAAUAGAUUUGGGACACUUGUUAGCUUUUUCCUAAAAAAUAUGUUGAUUUUGGGAUAAAAUCAAGUGUUAAAAUAUAUUUGCUUUUAGACAAAAGCAAAUUGAAGAAAUCAAAAUUACCCAUUUCAGAUGUUAUUUCACAUUUAUAUCUACUAUUAUGAAGAGUCAAAUCCAUGAGGGAUAGAGUGAAAGAAAAAUGAGAGAGGAGCUGAGAAUUUGUGAGUCAGUUUAGAAGGAUGGUGACUUUGAAGUAAGGGUGGCAAAAAUACCCAAGCCCAUGAGUACCUGUGGGUAAAAUCUGCCACGGGUACGGGGCGGGUAGCUAAACAGAUAUUUCACUAUCCAUUAUUAUAUGGAUACGGACACGAAUUUGAUUGUAUCCAUAUCCACGGGUACCCAUACCAGAUAAUAAAUUAAGUAAAUUACUAAAAUAUCGUUAUAUAACUUAUCUUACUGUUAACUUAUUGAAGAAAAUUUUACCGCCCACCUAAGAUUCCUCAUUAGUAACCUAUUUUUAUUUUAAAUUUUUCUUAAUUCAUCUUAUUAAGUUCACCGUUUUCAUUUCGUUCAAAUCAUAAAACAUAUUCUAUGGAUUAGGUAAGAAUCAUGAAUUAUCUAUGGAUUAUGUAAGAAUCACGAAUUUUCUAUGGAUUAUGUAUGAAUGUUUAAAAGUUGAAGUCUUUUGAUAAUUAAAAAAAAGUUAUUAUUUGUACUAAAAAAUAAAUAAAUUCAAAAAUCCAUUGAUACCAUGAAUACCUCAAUACCCACGGAUACCCACAUAGUGGGUACCUACGAGGGUACGAGGCGGAUACGUGUAUCAUAUUUAUCCAAUGGGGCGGAGACGGGUAUCAUACUAUCCGUAUCUAUGGGUACCCAUUAACAUCUCUAGUUUGCGGCUUUGAGUGAGAUAAAAUUAAUUAAACAAUGAAUGGAUGAAUUUGCAUUAGUUAGAGGAAGACUUUUCAUGUAUUUUUCAUGCCUUGUUGCCAUAUAUCAAUAGUUGAACGUGAUUAUGAAUCAAAUUUUGGAUUUAGUCAAUCAUAUCAAAUGUUUGAAACUGCAUCUAAAAGCAAAUAUAUUGAUACCAUUGAUGCAUAUCUAUAGUUAGAGUGCCAACGGAUGUUUGGCAUGACACGUCAAACGCAUAAAAUAAAAUCAGUUUGAAGAAAUCAUAUCUAUUGUGGUAAAUCAAUUUGUGCAACACACAAAUAUAUGUUAUACACCAUGGAAAAAUUAUAGUAUUGGCUAAUAAAAUGGAAACAUAUUUAGACCAAAAAAAAAAAAAAAUGGAAACAUAAAGGUUCACAAACACUCUAAAAAAAUUGUAAACCCUAGAAUCUAGAGAAGAAGACUUUUGUCUUUUUUUUUUAAAAAGGCUUUUUGUGACAUAUUCCAACUGAGUUUGGUUUUCCUUCAUUUUUUUUUUUCAUUUAGUGUUUAUUUAUGAGAGAGAUAUACAUAUAUGAUAGCUUUGUGAUUAAGUAAAGCUCACGAAAUGAUCGAAUAUGUUUAUCUCUCUUAAAAUAAAUGGAAAAAAUCAAAAUUCAUUUCACAUAUUCAAUGUAAAAGAGCUAUUAAAGUAAGAGUUUUGUUAACUAGUACCCUAAGCAUUAAUUAAAGAAUCUAUAAAUAAAAAAUUUGUGUUAAAAUUAUAAGUUGUUACUUUUAACCAACUAAUAAUUACACCAAUUUUUUAUAAAAGUUUAUUUGUUAUCAUUCUUCUUCUUAAAAUAAAGUAAAAGUACCAAAAUAAAGUACUCUUAAAGCUAGGGGAUCCACUUAAACCCCAAAUUAAAUUAAGAACAAAAAAGUAAUUAAGCUUUUGUUUAAAAAAAGCAACAAACUAAGGUGGUGGCUGCUAGCAAGUAGUAACCGGUUGUGGCUAGAUUAAGAAAAAACCUCUGUUCUCUCAAAAGAAAAGUUGAAAACUCAAAUAAUUUAUUCAUAUUUUUGACAAUUUUCCUAUCAAAUUGUCAAAAACUGGUCCAUCCAAAAACGUAAACAAAGAAUGACAGAAAGAAAAAAAGGAAGAAAAGUCGAAAUCCUCCAUCAUAUACUAAUCAAAAACCAGCAAACAAAAGCAAAACCACCACUACCCCCAAAUAGCCAAUCCAAUGAAACCGAAUAGAAUAAUAUCUUUAGUUCACAGAACCUUCGACAUUAUUCAUGCCACUAUAUUAAUUUUCUUUAGCAUAAAAACAAAAGUGCAUUUUAGUGCAUAGUUUUUUUCUUAUGCUCCAAGGCAUAGCACAUGGUUUCCAUUUUCCAAAACCAAUCAAACUUAACCAUAUUAAAACCCUUUCCUAAACCUCUUCACUUCACAUUCACAAAAUCACAAUCACUAUUAUUCACUCAAACAAAGUUAACAAACAAAUUAAUCAAACACAUAAUCAUACAAACUAUCAAACUCAAUGGAAACUUCACCUCCCAGCUCAGCUCCAUCCACCGUCCGUCCCUUCACCUGUGAUGGCACGAUGGGCGGCCACCUUGCACGGCGGCUUGUCGAAAUCGGCGUUCGCGACGUCUUCUCCGUUCCCGGCGACUUCAAUUUAACUCUUCUUGACCACCUGAUCGCUGAGCCGGAGCUUAACCUUGUCGGUUGCUGUAACGAGCUGAAUGCUGGAUAUGCUGCUGACGGUUACGCACGUGCCAAGGGAGUUGGCGCGUGUGUUGUGACUUUUACAGUCGGUGGACUUAGUAUCCUCAACGCCAUUGCCGGAGCUUACAGUGAAAACUUGCCGGUGAUUUGUAUUGUUGGAGGACCUAAUUCUAAUGACUAUGGUACUAACAGAAUUCUUCAUCAUACUAUUGGUUUACCUGAUUUUUCGCAAGAGCUUCGUUGCUUUCAAACGAUCACAUGUUUUCAGGUGAGCAGUUAGCAACACCAACACUCAUACUCACUCGAGUCAACAAAAGUUGAUGUAUCUGGUUCAAAAAAAAUCAAAUAGAUGUAUUUGGUUCAAAAACAUAUACAUCAACUUUUUGUUGACCCAAAAUUUUCAUCCGUGGGAGUAAUAGUUUGAGAAUAUAGAAUAAUUGAAUAUAACGCGUGUCUCGGUGGACAUGUGUCAGACCAUGCCAGUGUCUGACACCUGUCAGUUAUCCGACACAUCUUUAAUAUGAAUUGUUGUUGCUACAUAUAUAUCACACAUGUCUAUUUUGAUCACUGAGAAUUUGAUGAUAUUGUGGUGUGAAUUUUUCAGGCAGUGGUGAAUAACUUGGAGGAUGCACAUGAACUUAUUGAUACUGCAAUUUCAACUGCUUUGAAAGAAAGCAAGCCUGUUUAUAUAAGCAUAGGUUGUAAUCUUCCUGCAAUUCCUCAUCCAACUUUUGCUAGGGACCCUGUUCCAUUUUUUCUUGCACCAAGGUAUGUAUUUUUUGCUUACCUUUUGAAGUUUCUUUUAUCUGUUUUGCUUAUGAGUGUGAUCCUUUUAAAAAGAAUGUAUGACUAAUGGUAGUGAUGGGAUAAAGCUUAUGAGUGUGAUCCUUUUGCUAGGGACCCUGUUCCAUUUAUUAUUUAUGUGAUGAAGUUGAGUUACUAAUUAUAGCAUUCUUUCAUGAGUUGUAAGUUCUGUGGUACGAGUUUGACCUUCGAACUUCAAGGGAUGAAGUUCAAAUUCCCUGGAAGACAGAUGUUAAAUGGCCACUAGAGCCACUUUAAUUAAUGAAUAUUUAUCCUUAUAGUAUUCAUGGAUCAUGUUUGUUCAUACAUUCAUAUUUGGCAUUAGUAUUAUGUUAAAGAUAAAUACACAUUUUUACAACUAUAUGCAGGGUAAGCAAUCAGGAAGGGUUAGAAGCAGCUGUCGAAGAAGCGGCUGCAUUUCUGAACAAAGCUGUGAAGCCAGUUAUCGUGGGCGGGCCAAAACUUAGGGUAGCAAAGGCGCAGAAGGCUUUCAUGGAGUUUGCAGAAGCUAGUGGAUAUCCAAUAGCUGUAAUGCCCUCCGGUAAAGGACUUGUACCAGAAAAUCAUCCACAUUUCAUUGGAACAUAUUGGGGUGCUGUUAGUACUAGCUAUUGUGGGGAGAUAGUGGAGUCUGCUGAUGCUUAUGUUUUUGUUGGUCCCAUCUUCAAUGACUAUAGUUCUGUUGGAUACUCGUUGUUGAUAAAGAAGGAGAAGUCCUUAAUCGUGCAGCCCAAUCGGGUCACCAUUGGCAAUGGUCUUUCCUUAGGUUGGGUUUUCAUGGCUGAUUUCUUAACUGCAUUGUCUAAAAAGGUGAAGAAAAACACCGCAGCUGUGGAGAAUUACCGUAGAAUCUAUGUUCCGCCGGGCAUUCCUCUGAAGUGGGAGAAGGAUGAACCUCUUAGAGUUAAUGUACUAUUCAAGCACAUUCAGGUAAUUUCUAUUUAUAAGCUUCUUUGGAAAGAAAAUCAGUCUAGGGAUUCUUUGGCAUAAUAAUAGUUUUGUUCAUAUAUACAAUUGUAGUAACUAGCAAAUGCAUGGUUCCUUUUCUAGAUUUAUCCUGUUAAAUCAUGUGACACAGUAUUUAUAGAAGUAGAUUCAUAGUUUGAAUGUAUGUUUUGAUUGUGAGUGGAUUAGAGGUGUAAAACAUUGCCCGAAAAUGAGGAACAUAACAGUUUCAGAUGAUUAGCUGUUGAUUACAUUGCUAAAUAUGCAAUAUUGUUUGUGUGGUUUCCAUUAAAUUACUAUAUUAUUGUAAAAUUUCCAUUUAGUUCAGCAAUUAAAUGUGUUGAACAGGAACUGCUAAGUGGAGAUACUGCUGUAAUAGCUGAAACCGGUGAUUCAUGGUUUAACUGUCAGAAGCUUCGUUUGCCUGAGAAUUGCGGGUAAGUCAUUCACAAUUUUUGCACGAGUAAUAUGAUAAGUACAAUCUCUGCAAUCUACAUUGUUGGAACUAACAUUGGCGAAUGUGGAUUCUGUCUUUCAGUUAUGAAUUCCAGAUGCAGUAUGGAUCAAUUGGUUGGUCAGUAGGUGCUACUCUUGGAUACGCACAGGCUGCAACCAAUAAGCGUGUGAUUGCAUGCAUUGGUGAUGGCAGUUUUCAGGUUAGUAACAUGAUAAGAAAGGAAACUUUGUAUUCAGAACAUUAAUGUUAAGUUUCACCAGCAAGUAAGCCUGUUCAUUAAUUUAUUUUCGGAUGGAUGUAUGAUGCCUUAUUAGGUGACGGCACAGGAUAUUUCAACAAUGAUCCGUUGUGGACAAAAGAGCAUCAUCUUCCUCAUUAACAAUGGAGGUUAUACAAUUGAAGUUGAGAUUCAUGAUGGUCCAUACAAUGUGAUCAAGAAUUGGGACUAUACCCGCUUUGUGAGUGCCAUCCAUAAUGGACAAGGGAAAUGCUGGACUGCCAAGGUUAGCACAAAACGAACAAUUUAUCUUGUACCACUGUUUUAGUUUAUAAUUUGGUUGAAUGUUAAACACAUUAUAAUUUGCAUUAUGUCAUGUAGUUGAAUCUUUAAAACUUUGUGAGUGUAGGUACGUACGGAGGAAGAUUUGAUAGAAGCAAUUGCAACUGCUACUGGAACAGAGAAAGAUUCACUAUGUUUUAUAGAAGUUUUUGCACACAAGGAUGACACCAGCAAAGAGUUGCUAGAAUGGGGAUCCCGGGUUGCUGCUGCUAACAGCCGUCCUCCUAAUCCCCAAUAGAAAAUCAAUUCCUAAUCUGCAUUAUGCAUAAAACAUUUAUAAUUUGUAUAUUUAAUUUGGUGCAUUUUAUAGUGGAGGACAUCUAUAGGAUAAAUGCGACAAAAAAUGAAAAAUAAGUUGGAAUAAAUACUCGAUUUUUUUUUUACAUCCAUCUUGUCCCCAAGUAUUGCACUUUGUUGUUAUAACAUGAACUGUUGUAGCUUUGCUAAUGACAUCCUUUUGUAUGUAAUUCUUAUUACUUUAUUUUUUUAAUUGACUCAGUAAUUCUUAUUACCUGAACUAGUGUUACUGUUACUUAUGAAGAACUAUCCAUUGUAUGUAGGGAUUAAAAUAGUUGAGAUUGUUUGACAAAGCCAAUGGAUUAGCAUAUCAUCAGGUCUAGAUUAGAUUACACUUUUUUGCAUUAACUUUGUAUUACUUAGAUAUAGAUUGGAUGGCAGACUCAUAAUUGAUAGGCUAGAUCAUAUCUUAAAAAAGACCAGACCAUAAUUACAAGCUUAAUUGCAUUUUUGGUCCCCAAAAUUAACGCACACGUGUAUUUUUUUUUAUUAUUUAAAAAAUAUUUUUUUAUUUUUUAAUUAUUUAAAAAAGUAUAUUUUUAAUUAAAAAAAUAAAUUAUUUUUUAUUUUUAAAUUUAAAGAGAUUAUUUUUUAUUUUUUAGAAAUAUUUAUUUAUUUUAAAUUGUCACAUCAGCGAAGACAAGUCAAAAUUGGUCUUGGGGUCAAAACUGCCAAAGAUCCUAUACAUAGGGAGCUGUUUUGUAUUUUAAUCAGUUAGACGGCCAAAAUUGCAACUUUUAAAAAGAUGAAGGGCCAAAAGUGCAAUUAAACCUAAUUACAAAAAAUCUAUAAAAGGCAACAUAUCAUGAUUACAAAUAGUAUAUCCAUUUAUCAAUUAAAUUAUGUAAAAAAAAAGUAUAUCCAUUAUAGAGAUAAUAUUCAAUGUAGUGAUAAUUUUUAAAUUUGACAUUUUAAUAAAUAUUCUAUUUCCACACAAAACUACUUCAUUGGUGUAUAAAAUUCUCUAAAAACUUAAAAAUUGUUAAUUUUGUUUUGAUUUCUACUAAAUAAAUCUAGUUUUAGUCUGUUGUUGGUAGAUAUAUAUUGUUAUUUGUGAAAACUACUCAAUAAUGUUUAGAUAGGAUAGAAGUAUUUUUUUGGCUUAAUAUAUGCUUUAGUCCCUUAACUUAUUUUUGGAUUUUAUUUUGGUCCUCUAUAUAUAAAGUAUCUCAAUUUGAUCCCAUAUGUCUUUUGCCGUUACCUCUUUUGGUCAUAUCCGUUACAUUUUAACUGUUUGGAUCUUGUAGGUUUACUGUAAGCCUAUGGUGAAUGAUUAACACUUGAUUUUUUUGAAGUAAAAAUUAUAUAAAAAAAUUCAUUUUUUAUAAAAUAUGAAGAAAAAAAUAUUCCAGAUUUUUUUUUUAUGAAUUUUUAUAAAAUCAUUUUCAAAAUUGGAAAAAAAAAAUUACAAAAUUUUUAAAAAAAGUCAGAUUUUUUUUUCCGAAAAAAAAAAAGUUUUUUUAAAUAUUUUCUUACAAAAUUCUUGAUAAUAUUUUAAUUUUUAAAAAUCUGGAAAAAUAUAUAAAAAAUUAAUAUUUUAAAAUUAGAAAGAAAAAAAAACAUUCCAGAAUUUUUAUAAAAUCUUUUCCAAGAUUUAAAACAUUGAAAUUUUUUUAAGAAAUUUCAAAAAAAGGUCAGUUUUUUUUCUACAAAACUCUGGAAAAUAUUUUAAUUUAAAAAAUCCAGAAUUCUGAAUUUAAAAAGGUUAUAAAAAAGGUCAUAUUUUUUUUUACAAAAUUCUGAAAAAUAUAUAAAAAAUUCAGAUUUUUAUAAAAUACGAGGAAAAAAAAUUAUUCCUGACCUUUUAUUUUUAAAUUUCGUAAAAAACUUAUUUUUUUUCAAAUUUUGAAAAAAAUAUAAAAAAUUCAGGUUUUUAUAAAAUAUGGAAAAAAAAUGAUUCCUGAAUUUUGUAGAAAAAAAUAAAAAAAAAAAAUUUCUGAAAAAAACUGACCUUUUUUUCAAAUUUUAAAAUCUUGGAAAAGAUUUUAUAAAAAUUCUGGAAUAUAUUUUUUUUCUAAUUUAAAAUCUGAAUUUUUAUAUAUUUUCCAGAUUUUAAAAAUUAAAAUAAUUCCAGAAUUUUGUAGGAAAAAAUUUAAGAAACAUUUUUUUUCGAAAAAAAAAUUUGGCCUUUUUUUAAAAUUUCGUAAAAAAAUAUUUUUUUUUUUAAUUUUGAAAAUGAUUUUAUAAAAAUUCUGGAAUAUUUUUUGCUUCAAAAAAAUCAGGUGUUAAUCAUUUACCAUAGGCUACAAUAAACCUACAUGAUCCAACGGUUUCUAUUUCAAAAAUAGAUCAAACAGUUAAAAUGUAACGGAUAGGACCAAAAGAGGUAACAACAAAAGACAUAAGAGACCAAAUUGAGACACUUUAUAGUUAGGGGACCAAAAUGAAAUCUGAAAAUAAGUUAAGGGACAUGUUGAAAUUAAAGUUACAUGUUUAAAUUUAAACUUAAACACGAAGCAGUUAUAAGACUUACCGUUUGGCUGGUUUUUUUUUUUUCUUCAGCUUUUUUACAUUUUUAAGGAGAAGUUAGGCCCGAACACAAUAUCAAUAAAAUACCUUCGAAAAAAAAUACCUUUUUUAGAAUGAGUAAAAUUGAAUGGAAUGAGCUUUAACCAAAAGUUGUUGAAUGCUACUUCAAAAAACUACUUCUCUGCAAUUUAUUUCACAAACACCUCUCUUCAACUCACACGGCAACAUAUUCUUUUAUUUUUUAAUAUUAUAUUUCAAUUUAUUUUUUUUUCUUCCAUUUAAUUUAAUUUUAUUUUUUUGAACCGGUCCAUAUAAUUUUUCUUUGAAGGAGGGUCCAUUUAAUUUAUUUUUUUUAGAGAAGGGUCCAUUUAAUUUUAUAAUCUAUUAUUGAAGGAAUUUUAUUAUAUUUUUUAUCACUUAUAUAUUUAAUUUCAAUAUCGUUUAAUUAUCACAACCUCGCAAAUAUUUUUAUUCAUGCUGUCAUUGAAUGACACCAAAUAUUUUUAUUCCCUUUCUUCAACCUCACAAAUAUACACACACACAUUAGCAUUUAAAGUGAUAUUUUAUGUCCGUAUGUAUGUUUUUUGUUACGUUAAUGCGUAUAAAUUUUUAAUGUUGUGUCGUAUAAUUAUUUUUAUAAAAUUUUGAUUUUAAUUAAAAGUACAAGUAUAGAUGCGUAAAAAAAAUACUUAUAUAUAUAUAUAUAUAUAUAUAUAUAUAUAUAUAUAUAUUACACAUUUAUAUUGUAACAAACUAUGCAUAUCUUUUUCUUAUUAAAAAAACUAAACAUAUCUUUUUCAAUGACACCAACAAUGUAACAAAUAUAAUAUCAUAUAAUAUAAAUUUUUAUUUUUUUAAAUGACACCAAAAUUAUGGUAUUCCUAUAACAAAAUUUGUUAUAUAGUAUAAUUGGAAAAGAAAAAAAAUAGAUGCAAGGUCCUGGGUUCGAACCCCGAACACCACAAAAAAAUAAUAAAUUCAAAGUUUUGUACAAUAUUUUGCCAAACAGCUUUUAACUCAAAAAUAACUUUAGAAUUAAAAAAAAUAAAAUAAAGAAACCAAACAGCUUUAGCCUUUUUCUUAAAGAGCUUUAUUUUAACUUUGUUUUAAAGUAGCUUUUAGAUCGAAAAAAAGCCUGGCCAAACGGUACCUUAGAAUAUUAGUCGCCGCAGUUGCUUGCUAAAACGAAAUCUUUUUUUUCUGACCCUCUUUGCAAAAAAAAUACCAUGUCUGACCCCCUAUGAAAAUUAUUCACCAAAAUGACCCACUUUUUUUUUUGUCAUCCUUUUCCUCAUUCCUGCCAUUUGAAACGGCGGGAAUGAGCCGCCGUUCUGACACAUGUCACAUCGUGACUGGCCAGCUAUUUUUUUUUUGUCAUUACCGCCAUUUGAAAUGGCAAAUUUUGCUCCCAGGGGAGUCGAACCAGGCGCGUAUGGGACAUUGCCAUUCUGUGUUGCCACUAAGCCAAUGUACAUUUGAUGUUAAUUUUCGCAUCUAAUAAUAUAUACCCUUUUUAAAACCAGUUUCACACACCACAAACCAUCCAGUUUUUCAUUUUUGUUUUUUUUUUAUUGGAUAAUUUAGGAUAUCCGACGAAUAUAUAUAUAAUUUAUUGGAGAAAAAUUAUCUGACGAAAUAAUUUUUUUCACUGAUAAAUUAUAUAUAUAUAUAUAUAUUAUUAUUAUCUGACGAAAUAUAUAUUUUUCAUCGAUAAAUUAUCCGACGAAAUGAUAUAUAUAUAUUCAAAAUAAAAUAUAGAAUCCAAUUAAAAUUAUAAAAUCUGCUAUAUUUUUUUUUUGUCAAAUAGCCUAGUGGCUAGAGAAAUUCACCUUAAAAUCUAAGCUCAUGGGGACCUAUAUAUAUAUUUUUUUAUAAGACUUAUAUUAAAAAAACAAAAAUGUUUUUUUUUUUUUAGGGAACAAAAAUGAAAAAUUGGAUGGUUCAUGCCUCAUGGUGUGUGAAACUGAUUUAAAAAAUGGUAUAUAUAUUAUUGGAUGCGAAAAUUAACAUCAAAUGUACAUUGACUUAGUGGGAACAUAGAAUGACAAUGACCCAUAACCUUCUGGUUCGAUUCCCCCGGGGUUUUGAAAUUUUUUCUCAAAUAAAUUAAUAUGUAUAAAUGUACAAAUGUUGCCCAAAAAAGCAAAAAACGAAAAAAAAAAAUCGGUCCCGCCAUACAAAAAAAAAAAAUAGCUGACCAGUCACUCCGGGAAUGAGGAAAAGGACAAAAAAAAAAAGGGUCAUUUUGGUGAAUAAUUUUCAUAGGGGUUAGACAUGCUAUUUUUUUUUUGCAAAGGGUCAGGAAAAAAAAAAAAUCUGCUAAAACUUCUACUCAUCUUUACUGUAGCUCAAGUUAAAGUAGAAAACUAUCAUUUUUUUUGUGGGGACAAUGGUAGGUAAGAAGGAAGGAGUAUAAUAUACGAUUCUGAUAUCUCCUUUAUUAGAAAAAAAAUCUUUGAAUCUCAGUGCAAGUGGAAUCACACACCUAAGCACGACUUAAUAAAAAAAUCUGUCUUAAAAUAGUUAUUCAUUUUACGAUAAUGGUAAGGUUCUCUUAAAAUGGUUGUUUCCCACUUCCACAACAAAUUUCUCAUGGCGUCUGGUUCUGAACAGCGAUGGAGCACUGUAACAUUACAAUUACUUCUUGUAAUUACGGUUUCAGCACCGUUAUUCACGGCUGCAUGCUCCUCUUACUCUUCCAUCUUCAGCUUCGGUGAUUCCAUUGCCGACACUGGCAACCUGUAUCUCAGCUCCCAACCACCCUCUGAUCACUGUUUCUUCCCUCCCUAUGGCCAAACUUACUUUCAUCAUCCGUCUGGACGUUGCUCCGAUGGACGCCUCAUCAUUGAUUUCAUCGGUAUAUACCAUCGUCAAUUUGCUAGCUUAAUUAUAAGUUAUCUGUUAUAUAUUUUUAACAGCAGAGUUUAAAUGUUGUUAAUAUAUUACAAUUGCAGCUGAGUCAUUGGGAAUUCCAAUGGUGAAACCAUAUUUAGGAAUUAAGAAUGGUGUAUUGGAAGAUAAUAGUGCAAAGGAAGGAGCAAAUUUUGCUGUUAUAGGAGCAACGGCGUUGGACGUUAGUUUCUUUGAAGAGAGGGGUGUUGGUUUUAGUACCAAUUAUUCUUUGACAGUUCAAUUGAAUUGGUUCAAGGAACUUCUCCCUUCUCUUUGCAAUUCCUCCAAAAGUAAGUUCUCAAAUAUUCUCAUUCAUCAUCAUCAUCAUCAUCAUAAUCAUUGAGUAGUAAAUCAAUCGUAAAGGUUUGACCAUUUUCAAAUUUCAAUGGUAUAUAGGACUAUAGAUGCCCGACCCCAUAUAGUUAAAUUGGUAAUUUACUCAUCAUCUCUACCCACCGGCACCGCACAUCAUACAGACCCUACCGAUUAUUAAAUUUUAUUUUUGUCUUCUUGUCUACACCUGUUAUGGUGAUAAGCUUAGUAUUUUUUAUUUAUUUUACGGAAAAGUCCAUGGAAAGCACGUGUAUAUAAAUAAAAGGAAAUGCUAACGUUUAAGUACAUUUGUAAAGAAAUUUUAAAGAGAAAGUUUAUUUUAGACUCCAAUGAUGAGGUCUUUAUCAAUUAAGAUCCGAUAUUUAAUAGAUAUUUUUAUUUGAGAUUUUUUUUGGAGACUUUUAAGAUCUAUGGUCUCACUUGAGACCCCACAUAUUUUAUAAAAUAAUCAUUGUUGAGUUGUUUUUGUUGAAAGGUAAAAAUGAUAAAGAGUUAUUGGUGGGAUCCAUUUAGACAUUUUAUUAGAAAGUCUCCAUUGAAGUGGUUGAGUAUUUUUUUUUUUUUUUUGAAAGGGGAGUGAUUGAGUUCUUAUUAGGUACUAUUAUUAAAAAAUUAUACAAAAAUGAUGUGUACAUGUGAGAGACUCGUUUAAGACUUAAAAAUUGAGGGUCUCCACUGUGUACAUGUGUAUAUGUAAAUGAUGUAUUCAACACAAACUUUUAAAAUGAACUUUUUCUACAUCAAAUUCAUAAUUUAUUUCUCUUUUUUACUUCUUAACUAGUACCCUUAAAGCACAUGUUAGCAUAACCUAAUAAAACAUAAAACAAACAAUAAUAUGCAUCUGCAUAAAUUUAUUGUAGUUUUUUUUUAUCAAUAAUGAACUUUAAUGUCUGCUGUCUGCGUGCAUCUGCAUAAAUUUAUUGUAGUUUUUUUUUAUCAAUAAUGAACUUUAAUGUCUGCUGUUGUGUAAUUUUAUAUGUUUUUUAUUAAAAGAAAAAGCUAACUUGUGUUCUUAAUGACACGUGAAAAGUUUAUUUUCUCAAUGGAAAAUUUAUUUUUCAUUUCCUCUUUUAGUUUUUAACUUGUGUCUUAGGGCACAAGUUAGCCUGACUCUUUGUAAAAAAAGAUGGGCUUAAAUGUGGCUUUCAUCAUCCUAUUUUCUCAAAAUUGUGACAUUGGUUCUCAUGUUUUUAAUUGCGCGAUUUUGGCCAUUCAUUUUAGAAUUUUCGACCAAUUUAUAAUUUUGACCAUCUAACUUAAUAAUAUAACAAUAAAUUAAUAGAUCUAACAUAAAAAUGAAGGGUUUAAUUAUUGAGUGUCUUCAUAAAUGGAGUGAUAAAUGAGUCAUGAUCAAGUAUACAAAGAGAAGAUCAUUUGUAGUUAUAUAAGGGGUUGGUGUGAGCAAUUUAGUCAAAAGCAUGAAUUGGUCAAAAAAUUGAAAUGGGGGAUCAAAAUUUUGCGAUUAAUGAUUGAGGAUAAAAACUGUGAUUUUAACAAAAUAGGAGACAAAAACUACAUUUAAGUCAAAAAUUUAUUUACCUGUGUCACAAGCUACGAAACGUCAGAUUCAAUUAGUGGUACACCCAUCUCCCAUCGGAGGAAUCCGAAUUUGAUGCAGUCAUAGACUGCACAUGCAAAACAUGUUUUUCUAAACAAAAUUUACCGACAUUGAACAUAUACCAUCUGAUCUCAAUCGAACGGUCAUAGAUCACUAACUGAAUGAAGUCUAUGAUUGCACACAAAUCAAAUUCCUAUUGGAGGUGGAUAUUUUUGAUGAAUUUAAAUUUCAAAAUCAUUACGAUUAAACAACAACCUAUGGAUAAAAGUCGAACAUAUGACUCACAUUCUCAUGUUUUAAGUAUGUUUCAUUGAACUAAGACUUCAAUACUAAAUAUAUUUGUAUAUAGUUAUAACUUUUCAAUAGAUUUAUAAUUAUAAUUUUAAUAAUAUAAAUUUGUUAUUCAAAUAUAUGAUGUAUAUACUCGGGAAUUUUUUUUCAGAUCCCCAACAAAACUGCAGCCUUGGGUGGUCGCCCCCUCGCCCACUCUUAAGGCUGUCGCUGAAUCACAGAUAAAAAUCACACAACAUAUUCGACGGAGAGAACUUAUAAAAAAAAAAAAAGACAAAAUGGAUCAACAAAUUAACAUAAUUGAAUUUAGUAAAAUUACUGAAUUGAGGUCUAAUCUUGCAGACUGCCAUGAAGUUUUUGCAAACUCAUUAUUUCUUAUGGGAGAGAUCGGAGGUAACGACUUCAAUUAUCCUUUAUUUAUACGAAGGAGCAUAGUAGAGAUUAAAACAUACGUGCCACAUGUAAUCAGUGCAAUCACUUCAGCAAUCAAUGUAAGAUUAUAUUAUAUGAAGCAAUAUCUGUCUGCAUUACUAUUAUUCGAAUUUCAACUUUCCAAGCAUACUUAAUUUUCUAUUUUAUGUCUUCACAGGAGUUGAUUGAUCUAGGUGCACGCACGCUCAUGAUCCCUGGGAAUUUCCCAUUGGGAUGCAAUGUAAUUUACUUAACAAAAUAUGAAACUACAGAUAAGAGCCAAUAUGACUCAGCUGGUUGCUUGAAGUGGUUAAACGAAUUUGCUGAAUUUUAUAAUCAGGAGCUCCAAUAUGAGUUACAUAGGCUAAGAAGAAUUCAUCCUCAUGCUACUAUAAUCUAUGCUGAUUACUACAAUGCUCUUUUGCCAUUAUAUCAAAAUCCCACUAAAUUUGGUAAUUCAACCCUCUCAACUUCUACUAUAAUUUUUUUUUUUUUUUUUUUUUUGAAACGGCAAAUAUUAUUAAUCCAAAACUCUCGCAAGACGCAAAGAGCAGUAGAAAGAAAGAAACUACAAAGAUACCGCCUAUUAGCGUAACAUUGCCCAAACAAAGCAAACCACCAAAAAAUCAACCGAAUAAACGGAAGAAAAACAAAGGCCGAAACACCCACCAAACUAGUCAAAGUUGGCAAAAGUUAUGACUCUGAAAUCUAUUUCUCACCGUCAAAAUUCAGACCCAUAGCCCAGCCACAAAAACAGCAGACCAGCCACCUAAAAAACCCCCAAAAAAUCAGCUGGAACUGGCGCAAACAGCAAGCACUGUUGCUGAACUGUCAAAAACAGCAGCACAUCAGCGCUGCCAGCAGAAGACCAGCACAGCUGGGACGCGAACCUGGCAACAAGGCAGCUGCAAAUUAACGCACAAAACAUUCGCGAGGACACCAACUCCACUCAUAAAACAUGCAAGCCGGAAUUGUGGUUCUACCGAGAAUCCACCUCCACGACAACACCUUCACCGCCUCCAUUAACUCCUCCCACGAAGCAACCUCAUUAUUGAAAAUACGCCCAUUUCUAGCUUUCCACAAAACCCAAAUUACCACCUCCCAAAUCAUCCUCAAUAGCUUUCGAAUCUUCUUAUGUAAUGGCCCCCCACUCCAACACUCCCAAUGAAUAAACAAAUUAGGCGGCAUUACAAAAUUCAAAUCGAGCCACAACUUCUACUAUAAAUUACCUCCUCUAACCUUGAAAUUUGCUACUUUAACGUUUAGACACAUACUCCCUCUGUUUUUUAAUAUAAGCAAAUUUUGACUUUUAGGUUCAUUCAAUCAAUAAUGUAUGUGGUCUAUAAUAUAAACCACAUACAUCAUUAAUUGAAUGAAUCUAAAAGUCAAAAUUUGUUUAUAUUAAAAAACGGAGGGAUUAGUAUAAUUGAGUCUAAACGUUAAAGAUAGUUUUGUAAAGUUGAAUUAGAUCUAAAACCAGAAAUUAUACUAGCUAGUUUAAUUGAACUACUUUAUUAUCUAGGUACAAAGUCUAAUAUAAUGCUCAAUGUAUUGUGUAAAACCCAAGAUUGAAGAGUAUAGAGAAUGAGUUAGUUUAGGACAUUAUUUCACAACUAAUGUGAUGAUUUUUAACUUUGAUGUCAAUGCAGGUUUUACAGGUCUUAAAAACUGUUGCGGGAUGGGAGGUUCAUAUAAUUUCGGAUCAGGAUCUUGUGGUAAACCAGGUGUGUUUGCUUGUGAUGAUCCUUCUCAGUAUAUUGGAUGGGAUGGUGUUCAUUUGACUGAGGCUGCUUAUAGAUUAAUUGCUGAUGGCAUCAUUAAUGGACCAUGUUCUGUCCCUCAAUUUAGUAACUUGUGCUCCGUGAAUGUGAGCUAUGAAUAUGGUCAUUUCAAUAGCUAGAACGUUUAUUUGCCAAGCUGCCAUUAAUAGUAAUAAGGCUAGGCAAGGCAUCGUAUCUUUGGAGCAUAUACAAAAAUUCAAUUUUCACUUGCUGUAAUCAUAACAAUAAUUGUUUGACAAGUUUUAUUUAACAUUCAAUAAAUAAGCCUCUUAUUGGUGCUACUUGCAUCUCAAUGCUUUUUAGACAGAGAAAGGAAGCACAAAUACUAACACGACUACUACGUUAACACAUAAAUACAAUUUAUGAAAAUGGAAGUAAUUGAAUCUAAUUGCAUAUAUCGAUAUGGUGUAAAGUGUAGUUAAUUUUCUUAAAUUAAAAUCCAAAUAGUUUUUUUUUUUUUUUUUUUUUUAUCAGCCGUGACAUGUUUUGUUGUGAUAUGUUAUAAGUUAAAGUUUCAUAUUUGAUAGAAGAGUUGAAAUUGAACAACAUAUAAGCGAAAUAAUUCAUAAACCCAAUAUCUUAAGGUUUUCGACAAUUGCUCUUUAGGCACCUAAAAUCUUAAUAUUUCUCUACUAGUUAGACUACUAUAGUUAGAGGUGUAAGCGGUUCAGACUAAACCAACGAAACCGAAAGUCCAAACCGAAAAAAUAUCCGACCUUGUUCGGUUCGGUUUGAAAUCGAUCCGAACCAAUCAAUACUGAUUUAGUUUGGUUUGGUUCAUGGUUUUUCAUUUUGAGAUCCGUGAAACCGAUGAACCAAUCCGAUGAUAACCACACUCCUUAAUUCUUUUACUAAUAUUAUCCUCCUCACACUCACACAAAAUUAUGGUUAGACCCAAAAUUAAAGUCCAACUUAAACUACUUUUCAAUCCAUUCACUUUUUCUAAUCCUCAUCUCAUCUCAUAAGUCAGACUCUUUCAUUUCUACUAAAAAAGAAACCCUAUCCGUCAACCACACCAAACCCAUUGUUCAUCGCCACCGGCCACCGCUGAGAUCGUUCAUCUCUUGGUUAGUUUUAUCAUAUUUAUGCCAUUGAUUUAUACUCAUUAUAUUUCAUUGUUUUCCAUGUUGAUUUUCUAUGCCAUUGACUUGUACUCAUUAUGAAUCUUGGAUCAUACGUAUGAAAUAUUGAGUAAGGUUAGUUAUAAAAAGUUGUAUGAAAAAACAUAAUAUGAAAUAUAGAGUUAUACUAAGUUCUAUGAAAUAUUUUGUGAAAAUAUGAAUUUUUUUUAAUUGUAUUUUUAAACAAACCGAUCAACGAACCAAUCCAAAUCGAGCCAAACCGAUUAAUUUGGUUCGGUUUCUUUUUUGAAAAACAGUGAAAACUGAACCAAUCCGAACCGAUGAAGAUUUCAUCGGUUCAGACAUUUUUUGGCUGAAAAUCAAUCCAAACCGAACCGCUACACCCAUAACUAUAGUUAGUAUGUGACCUCUUUCAUGUAUAAAUGUGUGUUGUACACCUCAUAUUCAAUAAUGAAAAAUGAAACUUUAAUUCAAUUUGUUUCUCUCAUAAUAUAGUAUCAGUUUUCUCUCAUUUCUCAAGAGAGAAGUUACGAUCCUAACUACCUUAUAAACAUUUUUGGUUAUGCUUUCUUCCACUAUGAUUUGUCUUCAUCAAUGAUCUUCAUCCUCAUCGUCUUUGUUUGUUAUGCAACAAUUUCUUAAUUGUUUGUUCAUCGCUGCAAUCAGUUAAAUACGUUUUUCGUGAAUCAUUUUAUGAUUAUGUGUUUUGUUCUUCAUUAAUUUGUGUUUUGGUGAAUUGUGUUUCAGGUUAUUUACAUUAUAUCAUUCUUUCAAUCUUGACAUUUAUUCAAAUUCGUUGCUAAUUUGUUCAGUGUUUUUGUUUGAUUUUCAUCCCACCUUUGUUCUUGGUUGUGAUUUGAUCAUCAUUCAUUAUGCCUCCGCGCCUAAAUCUUGUUCAAAAUCAACCUAAAGAACCUAACUAUGAAUCCAUUUAUUAUGUUCAUCUAAUUGACAGUUCAAAUUGAGUCACUCUUACGCCCAAACUCAAUGAAUCCAAUUAUCUUGUGUGGAGUCGUUCUAUGCAACGUGCAUUAAGCGCGAAGGAAAAGCUUGCCGUCAUCAAUAGCACUGCUUUUGUUCCAUAUCGUUUGUAUUUGAAUAGAGGUGCACAGAAAUCAUGUAAUGAAUAAUGAAGCUUUCAUUCAAUUUUUCUAUAUUAAGAACCAAUAAAUAGGAAAUCACACAUCAUAAAUUUUUUCUCUAUUGAUUUGUCCCCUAUUUUUCGUACAAUUUCGUACAUUUUCUUAACUUUUCACACAACAUAAUAAAGGUACUAACAUUAUAUAUAGGCUAAUAAAAUUACAAAUAAUAAUAAUAAAAUAUACCAGUUUGGUCGACGUCUUGAGUUUAAAUUCCUUUUUUGAAUGACAAAUCAAUAGAUUAAAAUAUAUUUACUUUUUGCUUUCAUUGAGAGUUGAACUCAAGACCUCCCGCUUACUAAACGGGUGCUCUAACCAACUGAGCUAUGAAAGCUUUUAUAUCCUAUGCAUAUCAAAUUGGUUAUUUAAACCAAACUAAUCGGUUUAAAUUGCAUCUAUAAAUUGAUUAGAUCAUUGAUUUAAUCCUUACACUUCUUAAUUUUUCACUUAAAAAGUUUAAUUAAGAAAUUAUGUCUUGAGAAUGAUGCAUUCAACACGUUGAAAAUUUAAAAAGUUACUUUUUCUACGUAAAACUUAUAAAUUAUUUUCAUUUUUAAAUCCUUAAUUGAUAUCUAAGGACAUUUGUCAGCAAAACCCUUAAAACAAAAAUCUUCUUGAAACUAAUGUGAAUUUAUUGUCUUUUUGUGAGGAUCUCUCCUGAUAAUCUCAUCCAAAUUCUAUUUAAUAUAAUCUAUAGAAAAUGUUUGACGGACAUUUUAUAUGAAUGUAUAUAUUCUGAGAGAUCGAUAAAUAUAGUGAUAUAUUUUAAAAAGAGAUAAAUAGAGUUUUUUUUUUGACAAGAUAAACAAAGAAAUAUAAAUACAAAAUGAUUUUUUUUUUUAUGAUAGAAAUAUAAAAUAAGUUUUGUUGAAUAAAGAAAUAUAAAGUGAGUUUUUUUUUUUGUGGUGGCCAAGAUUUAAAUUCUGAACCUUGCAUAUAUUAUGCACUGUCUCUAUCAACUGGGUUAAGUUACAUAAAAUGAGUUGUUCAGUAAAUUGAAAAAUAUAGAUAUAAAAUUAGUUGACUAGUCGUCUAAAAAAUAAAAUUGUUUAACGAGGGUUGAAAAAUAUCGGGUGCCACAAUAUCAUUUUUAUCAUUUAUAUUUGUAACCAUAUUAAUUUGGGAUUAAAACAAGUUUUCUUGGGUCCACAAGUCUUAGUUCAACUUGUUUUUUUUUUGUUACACUUAGUUCAACUUGUUUGUGAUAUGAAAAACAUUAUGACCACUUAGAAAUACUUAUUCAGGUUAUAUAUAUCUCUUUCAAUGCGAGAUUCUUAAUACAUACUUCUCACAUUUAGGAUUAAGUGUGACCCGAGUGAUCUGAUAGCAAAAAUAUGAUAAAAAGUUAUCCAACCGAUCUUAAAUAUGCUCUUAUAUCAUUCUAUAAUUUCAAUUGAAGAUAACUAAACCAUAAAAUCAUCAUGGUGGAAGCUGAAGACUAUCAUACCCAAAAUUUGACAUGUGAAUCGUGACUCAAGCCACCCGAUAACAGAAAACUCAUUUUAAUAUUAAUCUUGGAUAGACUUCAAUAUUAUUUUAGAGUUUAUGAUCGAACUUAGUAUAAUUUCACAAAUCUGAUUUGUAAGGGAAUGAUACGCAAACAUGUGUGACAACCAUAUAUCUCUUUCUAAAGUGAGACUCUCAAAAUUUCUUGGGUGUGUUUGCUUUGCAAAACAGCAAGUACUGGACAGAACAGUAAAAUAUAGAACAGUACAACAUAAGGCAGAACAACACAGGACAAAUUUUUUAUACCAUUGAGUAAUUUUUUGUUUUAUACGAUUUUUGAGGAACAAAAUGCUAUUUUGGUAUUUUAAACAACUUGUAUGUGAGACAAAAAGUUGUGCUGUGGUUUGGUGAGAGACAAAAAUAUGAAUUUUUGUUCCGUCCCACCUCCAGUUUGUCUUGUACCUGAAACAGUUUUACAAAUCAAACACUGAACAACUAAAGUUGUUCUGUCUUUUCCUUCAUUUUUUUUUAGUAAAUCAAACACACUGUUUCUGUCUCAUCGAUUGAAACGUGGACAAUGAUAUAAAUGCAUUGCAGACAAUGUACAGCUUAAGGUGAAAAGAAGGUAUUGUUCAGUCAAUAACAAAAAAACCAAAUUCUAUUAUGGCUUCACCAGUUUGGUCCCUCCAACAACAAUGGUUAUUCAUUGUUCUGCCACUGGUUUUUACUACUGCUGCUACUAGUUGCUACUCUUCAAUCUUCAGCUUCGGAGAUUCCCUCACUGAUACCGGAAACUUGUAUUUCAUUUCCCAACCACAGAGCCCCGAUUGUCUGCUCCCUCCUUACGGUAAAACCCAUUUUCAUCAUCCCAAUGGACGCUGCUCUGAUGGCCGCCUCAUCGUUGAUUUCAUCGGUAUAACUCAAUUUCCAUCAUACCCUUUUUUUCCUUUUCACUUUAUUCUUUGAUAAAAAUUCAUUUUUUUUUGUAAAUUGCAACCUUGUUUAUUAUCUACAAAUUAUUAACACAGACACCGGACACUGACACAUUAACAUCAAUAAUAAUUUAAAAAGUGACAUAACUGAAUAGCUUCGGUAUUUGACAUUGACACUUGUAACACUAGACUUGACUUCUAUUAUAAGUGUUGAUGCUACAAAGUUUGUUAAUGUUACUGUUUUUGUGUGUGCUGGGUUUGUGAAGCUGAGUUUUUCAGGCUUCCAUAUUUGAAACCUUAUCUGGGUUUCAUAAAUGGUGGGAACAUUGAGCAUGGAGUGAAUUUUGCGGUUGCUGGAGCUACUGCGUUAGAUCGAAGUUUCUUUGAAGAGAAAGAGUUUGUUGUUGAAGUGACUGCAAAUUACUCUCUCAUUGUUCAGUUAGAUGGGUUCAAGGAAUUGUUGCCUUCUAUCUGCAAUUCUACUUCAAGUGAGGUUACCUACUAUUCGCUUUCCCACAUUUUGUUUUUAUAAAUACUUGUCCCAUUGCAAAUUUGCAUUUAUUAAUUUGAACCACGAAUUUGAUGGGUUGAGAAUAGUUUAUAGACUAUUUAUUAUAGUUUUAUAGUUAAGGGAUCAAAUAGAAGAGAUAAUGAAAGUUUAUGGAUCAAAUUGAAGAUUUACUCUUGAUUAUAUGAUAUGAUGUUUAAAUAAUAGAAAUUGACUGAGAAUUUUGUCUGGGAGAUAGUUUGAUUUAAAUAUUCAGUAGCUUUCCUAGUAUUUGAAUGUUGUUCUUCAUGUAAGGAUUUGAUUCACGAAAUAUUUAAUUGAUCUCAGUAUUUACUUAUUACUUUGUAUCCCUUGCUUUUUCUUGACUGUUUAAGUUGGUAAUUCUGGUUUAUGCGAUUUCAUUCUCUUUAGGCUGCAAAGGUGUUCUUCACAGCUCCUUGUUUAUUGUGGGAGAGAUAGGAGGCAAUGACUAUGGUUUUCCUUUGUUUCAAACAAGUGUAUUUGGAGAUCUUAUUACUUACGUACCCCGAGUAGUAUCUGUAAUCACUUCAUCAAUUAGGGUAAGAGUUUAAUUCAGUGUUUGAAAGUUGAGUAGUAGUUAUUUCAGUAUUCUCUUAUCCUCAUAUUAAGUUUCACAUUUUGAACAUUUACUUGUCACAUAGUACAUAUUAUUUGUCAUUUUACAAUACUCACAUCUUGUUUUUGUAUUUCAAUACACCUAACUUUUUAUCAAAUUACGUUAUUAAUAAGGAUAUUUUAGUCAAUAAAUCUCAUUUUGUGAUAGAAAUUAUUACACUCAAUUAUUUUCUUAAAAAAUGUGUAUAACUUUGAAGUAUGAGACACAAGGAGUAAGUUUUUCAAGCUCAAAAUCAGAUUCACGUUAAUGAAAUAGUGAGAUUCAGAUUACUCUUAGUUUUCUUUGAGAAACCCAGGUUUUUAAUUUGUGGUUUCUUUUUACUCCUGUUGAAGUCAUUUUUAAUCUUCAAUUAGUUUAUGAGUUUAUGCAGGAGUUGAUUAAUUUAGGUGCUGUCACGAUUUUGGUUCCUGGAAGUUUACCACUUGGAUGCAAUCCAGCCUAUUUAACAAUGUUUGCGACUAAAGAUGAAGAGGAGUAUGAUCAAGCUGGAUGUUUGAAAUGGUUAAACAAGUUUUUUGAAUACCAUAAUGAGCUGCUUCAAACCGAACUACAUAAGCUUCGAGUGCUGUAUCCUUUUACUAAUAUCAUCUAUGCAGAUUAUUUCAAUGCUGCAUUGCAGUUGUACAAAUCUCCAGAACAAUAUGGUAGUCUGCUUGCUAAUCCUCUUUACUUUUUAUGUCAUAUCAAUGUGUUUGUGCUGCAAGUAAGCAUUACAAGUUGCAACAUAAAAGUUCAGUCAUAUAGAACUGUUCAGGGUUCAGGAAGGAUACCAAACUGAAUAGUUAAAACAAUUUGGUAAAACGUAACCGAACUGUUCAUAGUCACCUUUAAAAAAACAAACUAUACUUUUUCGACAUUUUUUGCAGACCUCAUUGUAACAAAUUUUUAUUAUUAACUGAUAAUUAGGAAUGUUGAGAAAAGCCCAAAAUCGAACCAAAUUGAAUAGUAUGACUGUUUAAAAAAACUGAAGAACUGUUAAAUUGAACAAAACAGAGCUGCACCGGAAAGAACCAAACAAUCAAGGAUAAUUCGUGAACUCAACUGAACCGAACUCGGUUCAGUUCCUGAAUUGUCAAUCAUUGUUUGACUUUUUUCAGUGUGUUUUGGUUUUGGUUUUUUUAACAGCCCUCAUUUUCAUGUGAUAUUUAUAUUAUUAAUUAGUGGCAAUAUUGUCAUUUUGCAAUUGUCCACGAGGGAGAUUUUAACUAUGUCCUUUGAUAUUACAAGGUCAAAUCCUUACCACUAAACUAGCACCUCAUGGACAUUCAUGUGUUAUUUAGUCAUUGUUAUUAGUUAGAUAACAUGAAUCAAUAAUUUACAGCAGAACUAAACUAGAGAGUCUCUAUGUCAUGAAUUUUCAGUAUGCCACUAAAUCAUUGAAGAGUGAUACAAGGAUUUGCUUCACUAUUGUAACAGGGUUUGAUGGAAAUGCUUUUAAAGUUUGUUGUGGAGGUGGAGGCCCUUACAAUUACAAUGAUUCAGCACUAUGUGGAAACUCAGAAGUGAUUGCAUGUGAUGAUCCUUCAAAAUAUGUUAGCUGGGAUGGAUAUCAUCUUACUGAGGCUGCACAUAGAUGGAUGACUGAGGCUUUAUUAGAAGGACCAUACACCAUCCCUAAAUUUAGUUUCUCUUGUCUUAGUAGUGAGUGAGACCUUUGCAGAUUUCAUCAACUAGUAACUACGCAAUGGAGAGAAAAAACAAUGUAUUUCUCUAUGUUAUUGUAAAAAAAUAAGUCAAACAAAAUAUUAAUCUGAGUGGUUGAAUCCUACCGUCCACUUGCAGAGAUCUAUUAGAGAAAAACUCUACAUGGACUAACGACCGAAAUUGACACCGGAGGAAUCGAAUGAGACCUUGAGAGAAACAAACUCCAAGUCAGCAUCAUCAAACUAGUUUGGGUGGUUACAUAUUCUUAAAAAUGAGACUAACUCAUGUGGUUACAUAUUCUUGAAAAUGAAAAUGCACGCUCUGAAUAAAAGAUUGUAUAAAGUAGAAAAAUUGAACACAAUUUAUUGAAGUUCGAAUCAAUAAAUCCUACAUCUUUAUUGAGGUUGCCAUUAUCACUGCGAUCAUGCUGAAUGCUGCAGCACCAGUGUUACAAGACUUUCUUAGAAGAAAUUCACAGCCCCUCACUUGAACACUCUAUUAUCCCUCUUGCUCAACGAUUCUGCGAAACAAUCUCAAAUCCAAUUCAAUGGACUCUCAAGUCUCAAUAUUUUUCAAAAUCAACCGUUGAAUUGAAAGUUAUUAAUAUUUAUAAAUUUUGAUAUUAAUCCAUGAACAAUUCAUAUGUCACCAAGAUGUAUUGAAAAAAAGUUAUUUGUAAUUCUUUCAUCAGUAGAUAAUAGAACACAUCAAUAUAUUCACAAAAGAGUGUUAGUAACACAUCCUCUAACACAUGAGAAGAUCAUCUCCACUGGAAACUAUCAGUUUUCAGUUUUAUGUAGACAUUGAAUCUUUUGUCAAAAAAUGUGACAAUCUCUUCCCCUAAUGCACAUAUCCCAACACAUUUCUUUUUAUUGAGUAAAAUCCAUAUGGUCUCGACAAAAUUAUGAGGCCCACAUAAAUUGAUAUAAUUCAUAAAUUUUAAUCAAUAAAAGACAAUUUUUUUUUAAGGAAAAGAGAGUUUGUUUUGGAGUAAAUAGGCAAUUACUCAUCGAAAUUGUAAGUUUCGAUAAUUACCUCCUCUUAAAUUAACAAAAUUUCAAUUGCCCUCCUGAAAUUGCACAACGUUAACCAAUUUACCUUCUCCGUCAAAUUUUUCUGUUAGUCAACGUGACGUUUUUUUGCAAAUACCCCCUGAAGUUUUGCACUUAUUUGCAAAAUGCCCCCUAAACUUGAAAAUUUAUAUAUUUUUUCUUAUCCUUAAAAGUGGCUGAAUUAUCACCGACUUGUAGAGCAUAUUAGCUAAGUUUUGACGGUAUGCAGUACACGUUGGUGUUUACUGCUAUCCAUUCAUAAUAAAUUAACAGAAUUCUCAAUAUACACGUUGGUGAAGUACAAAAGUUGGUGUUUACUUGUUCUCAUGCAUGAGUACAAACAAGAAAAUUAUUUUGGUCUGGAUCGAUGGUAGCAUCAGAAUAAUAUACAAUAUGUUGCCAUAAUGCCAUUAGCUUAUUCAGCGGCUUGAAAAUACUACUCCCUCCGUCUUAAAUUGUAUGACGUUUUGGGCAUUUCACACAUAUUAAGAAAUAUAAUUAAUACAGUAUGGGGAAGAGAUAUUAUGAGUUGUUUUACAAAAUUAUCCUUAAUAAAUGAUAUGAGAAAAAUAAAUGAAAGAAUUGAAAGAAGAAAGAGUAAUAAAUGGUUAAGGAUAUAAUAGGAAAAGUAACAUUAAUGUUUUAUUGGUAUUAUAAAGUGAUAUACAAUUUGGGACAAAUAUUUUUUCUAAAGUCACAUACAAUUUGGGACGGAGGGAGUAUUAUAUACUGCUGCAAGAAACUUUCCUUGAGAAGAUGUUAUGUUUCAACUAAGCUGAACAAUGUGUACUUAAUAGAGGCAUGGGGAAGAACAAAACUUGAGAGCUGAAAUAAAAGCAAAGCUAUAAAUAAAAACUUAGCUAACGUUGGAAUAAAGAAAUGCGUUUAUGUUUGUUUUGUAAAUAUUUUUGAGUUUUAAACAUUAUUGUAGGGUUUACCAAUAUGUUUCAUAAUUCAGUGAUAAUGCAGUCACUUGAAAAAAAAUAUAAAUUUUCAAAUUCAGGGGGGAUUUUGCACAUAAGUGCAAAACUUCAGGAAGAUAUUUGCAAAACGUCAUGUUGACUAACAAAAGAAUUUGACGGAGGGGGUAAAUUGAUUAACGUUGUGCAAUUUCAGAGGAUAAUUGAAGUUUUGUUAAUUUCAAGGGUAAUUGACGAAACUUAUAAUUUCAGGGGGAUAAUUGCCUAUUUACUUGUUUGUUUUGUUGUAGUGUGUAUUUUUGACAUUAAUUUCAAAAUCAAUGUUCUAUAACUCACUAUUAAUAUGUUUAGCACUAGUGUAACGCCCCGUGCCAAGCACGGGAUAUAUUUUAUUAAAAUUUUUUAACAGAGUUUACCAAUAAAUAAGUUUUUUUAGAUAUUAUUUUGACUUUUUUAGUUUGAUUUUAUUCAGAAUUUUGAUACUCUGCUUAAAAUAGUGAGAAAAAGUACAACUAUGCUUAAAAUAUAAAAAUACUAUAAAUAAUUACUAUAUUCUUAAAAAUAUAUCUAAUUAAUAGGAGGCAUGAUUACCUCUGUUAUAAUCUACCAUUAUGACUUUGCCCUCUCUUUAGAAAUCUUCUGCAACCUCACCCCCUUUUUUUCGAAACCUUUAUCACUUAUGAUGUACCAACAUGCAACGAUGGUGCGAUGAGUGGCGUCGUCCCCCCGCACCACCCUUUUUCCGGUUCCCACAACAAUUUGUGUCGUUGGUUUCCGAUUCAACCAAUACCGAAUCUGCUACGGGUGGUGGUUGCUGAGUUGUUGGUAUUCGUAAAUUGUUGGCUGUCACUAGCGAUCUUGUUUGGUUCUGUGUGUUGGCUUCUCAAUGGCAGAAUCCCGCGUUGGUUUGGUAGAAACCCAAAAGGGUCCGUUCUUUAUCCUCUAUUUUGCCACCGUUUUAGACCUUUUUCGCCACCGUGUGGAUUGGUUAUGGUGGUUCAUUCGAAUCCGCCGUCUCCUCCCUUUCUUUGGAGGUGGUUGCGGUUCUACGUUGGGCCAAAAAUGACUGUUAAUUUGAUGUUGAUCAUAGCAGUAAACAGUUAGUGCAUGUGGAUUUGUUAAUUACCGUGUUGGCGGUUGAAUCUACUCCCCACUCCCAAGAAUAUGUAUGUCUUUUGCAACCCAUCAAUCCUUGAUUGACAUGAGACUGUAUGGACUUGAAAGAGUCAUUAAUGCUUGUUGCCGUUGUUGCAUGGGGUUGAUGGCACGUGAUCCGAUUUUGCGUUGACAAACGUGUAUCGUUGAUGGUAUUCGUUUGUUAGAAUUAAUUAGGCUCGAAUCCACUUUGUUGAUCUUUUUUUGAUGUAUUACCCGUUAGGGUGGAUCCACUUGGAUUGACUGGAUCAAAUUUUUUGUCCUCCAGGUUUUAUAUUUUUUUUUUCCUUUUUUUAAUAAUAUAUAUGGAACAACUGAAAAUCGAUUAAAAUAGGGUACCAACUUAAUUGAGAUUAUUCUUUUUGCUCCUGUCUUAUAAAAAUAUAAUAAAAAAUCUACCACUUUGAAUAAAGCUAUUACUUUUUUUAUUUAAUCAUAAUACUCUCUCGGAUUUCAAUUAUAACAAAAUAUUUAAGUUCAAAAAUUUACUUAUAUGCAAUUAGUUUUCUCGAAUGUUUUCUAAAAAAAUAUAAAAUUAUGAAAAGUACCAUCUAUUGGAACUUGUUUCAUGAGAAUAAAAAAAUAUUAAAAAUAAAACUUACAUGAAUUAAAAUGUAUAUUAGGACAACUACCUUUUAAAUAGAGUCAAAGUAUGUUAUAUAUUCUUUUUAAUUUAAGAUAAAAAAAAAUAAAAAAAAAAUCUUAAAUUAAAAAAAUAUAUAACUUACUUUGACUCUAUUUUAAAGGUAGUUGUUUAUUUUUUAUAUCUAAGAUUGGAGAGAGUCCCUAAAAAAAUAUUGGAGAGAGUAUUUCUCUUGAAAGCAAAUCAUCUCUAGUGAGAAAAAUUUGAGAAAACAAUUUUAUUUAAUCUCCUUUCUUCAUUUUUUUUAAUUAGAGAUCAAUGUCACAAAUUAAAACAAUCUAACCUAAUUUCGUUAUGUUUUAGUGUAGUUAUGAUUUCGAAUUCAUCGUUUCCCCUUUUUUCCAAGCAAACACUUCCUCUUUCUUAAUGUUCCUAACCGAAAUCCACAAACUAAAACCUCCAUCAAACAUGGGGAAGAAAAAGGUAGGAGAUCUAUGUCAACCCAUUCAAUUUCAUGCAAGUUCAUCAACUCCUCAAUGGUGAUCCUAAGAGUAAGGUUAAAAAAUUCUUCUGGUAUGCUAAUGUGGAAAUUGAUUUGAUGACAACUUGAUGAUAGUGGAGAGUAAUGAGAAAAAUACUCCUUUUUUAUAAUGAUUCGUGGUUGUAGAGUGGUCCUUUGUGUGAUAUAUCUAGAGGAACUUUUGAGUUAUAUCAAAAUAACUUUAUGCCAUUUAAGGAGAUACGUUGGUUAGGGUUGGAUGGGGUGGAGACGAUGUCAUAGAAUUUUUCUUGGAAUGAGGUGCAGGGGAUAUAUUGUUGUUAUUUGUUGGACAACAUUAUUUUUAAGGCUAGCGUUUUUGAUAAGUUUCUUUAAAGUUGAUCAUGGUGAAAGGUACCCUGACAAAGGGGUAUAUCAUCUAGUUGCAAGUGGAACAUGAUGAACCUAUGGCUCUAAAAAAUCUCAUUAGGAACAAAGUAGCUCCUUUAAAUGUCUCUAUCUUUUCGUGGAGGCUCUUGAAUAUCUAAAUUCUAAUAAAUGGCAACUUAGCUUGAUGGAGUGUUUAAAAUAUGGACUUAUUUUUAUGUUCUGGCAGAUGUGAAAAAGAGGAGAAUUAUCUUUUUUUGUAUGCUAAUGUGAAUUCUUUUACAGCAUAUGACAUAAUAUUCUAAAGUGGUUGAAAUUAUUGCGUUCUUCCAAUUAAUUAUUGUGAGUGUACUCUUCAUUUCAGUGGUUCUCAAUUGUUCCAAAAAAAGUUUGUUUUAGUUUUCAGUUGAUUUUGCUGACUUGCAUUUGGAUUAUUUGGAAAGACAAAAAUUCUUACAUUUUUGUCACAAGAACCAGUUUAUGGUGUUGUUAGAUAAAUAUACAUUUCUCGUUUACUGGAUACAAAAUGCUAAGAAAUCAUGUAUGUAUUUUGAGUUGAAAUGUUGGUGGAAUAAUCUUUCUACUUGUCUUGUUUAUUCUACCUCAUGAUUUGGUUCUUUUGUAUCUAUGCAUCUUGAACUUUGUAUUUUCCUUUAUUGGGCGGAUCUUGUGCUUGAAAGGUUUUUAAUAUAAUUGAUCUGAGGUCUUCAUACAAACAAAAUCCACCCCAGUCAAGAAACCAACUACAUCAAUAUAUAAUUUAUUGCAUGUUGUUAGAAAGGGAUGGGGGUUUGAAAUUAGUUUCAUGAUAAAAAUAUGAUUCAAAUUACAUUUCAUGUCGUAAGAAUCAUUAAAAACAUCAUAUGCAGUGUAAACGAAUACAUGUUUGUAGGGACCAAAAAAGAUUUAAAUAUAUUGAUUUUUGUGUUAAUUGUAAAAUUCAGUUUGUAUUCGUUGUGUGAUGGUCUAUAUGAACCACUGUUGCUAGCAAAAUCAAAUGAGGAAAUCGUGAACACCAUUCCCUCUUGGAGCUGCUCCUUGAACUUGUAAAUCAAUGUUCUUCGAAUAAACACACCUAUUCGAUCACCCUAGAUAACAAAGAUUAAAAUAUUAUACUUUAAACAAACAAAAAAAAACAAAAAACAAAAACGGUAUGAAAAAAGUAUCAUUCGAUCCAUUAGAACCAACUCCAUAGAAAAUGGUAGUUUUUUAUUUUUGUAGUCUUGAACAAACCAAGCACGAACAACCCUCACUACCAAUGUCCAGGAUUAUUUUCUUGGCGAAACAUCAGAGAUGAAGUUGUGUUUCGUAGACGUUUUUCUUUGCAAUAGAAAAAAUUACAGAAAUUACUUAGAAUAUAGAUAUUAGAGAACCAAAGAACAGAAAAAGAAGAACUAUAUUUUGUGAUUGUUGUGUACUUAUACCCAAAAGUGCUACUAUUUAUAUAGAAAAAUAGUACCAUAACGGUUAAUAUCUAUUAAUCAUUAAUUUGAUCGUUUUAAAAUUAAUAUUAUCAACGUAUUUAAAAUUAUAAAAUAUGCAUUAAACGAUUAGAUUAUAUUUGAUGUAACCUACAAAAAAAUUAACUUCAUAACAUUUGAAAUUUAAUAAUAUCUUAUUAAAUAUUAUGUAAUAUAAUUUUGCAACGAAUAAAAAUUAAUUAUAUAACCUUAAAAACUAAUUACUACAAUUAAAUUUUUAAUUAGUAGGUUACUGUCAUAGUGUAACGGACCAAAAUUCAAAAUAUAAUUUAUUCAAAUUAUUUAUUAUAAUUUUGUAACCUACCAAAUUUUUAAUGUACCAUAUAAAUGUUAAUCGAAUAAUAAUUAUAUUAAUAAUUAUUUGAUUGUAACGUACAAAUUUUUAAUGUAACAUAUAAAUUUUAAUAAAAACAAUUAUUAUAUUAAUAAUUAUUUGAUUGUAACCAACUAUGUAUUUUAUGUAGAAUUUAAUGAUUAAUAAAAAACAGUUUUUAAUAAUAAUUAUAAUUAUUAAGCUUGUAUUAAAAAUUAGGAGAAAUCUUUGGAACAAAUGCCAAGUAGGAUUAUGAUGAUGUGGACAUCUUUAGAGGAGAGGAUUUUGAAAUAGACUGUUUCUAAAAACUCUAAAUUGUUAGUAUAAAGAUAAGUGAACCAAUGCUAUGUAAACAUCCAAUUGAUUAAAACUAUACAAUAACUAGGUCUCACCAAGUUUUUUGAAGACAAAUUAUGUCUCACCAACAAAUGAAAGUAGGGUAAAAUGUGUUGUAUGCAGAUGAAUGAAGGUUCACAACCUGCAAAACAAUAAAAUGUAACGUUAAACCCGAGGUAUGACUACGUCAUUGUAUGAAGAAAUUAUCUGCAGAAUUAUGCAACUUUCCCGUAAUACAACAGAUUCUUCUCGGCGUUAAGCAUACCAAGACUAUCAAGAUACGGAUAAAAAUAUGAAGACUCAAUGACUCAGCCACUUAGUAAUUUUGUGAAAAUGAAAGAAGUGUUAAACAAUAUUCAGAAGCAAGUACAUAGGUAACAAACAAUUUUGUUACCUAAGGGCCUUGCUAACCAGUGUCCUAAGGACAUUGAUUAAAGAAUCCAUAAGUUGAAGUUUUGUCUUGAAAAUGUAAGCUGUUACAUUUAACCAAGUAAUGAUUACACAUAUUUUUAUAAAAAACUUACUUAUUUUAUUUGCUUAAUCAAUGCCUCUAAAACACUAAUUAGCAUUCUCCUCAAAAUGAUGGUACUCACCAUGUUAACUUGCCUUAAGACAAAGUAGGAAUAAAAUUCAACACUACAACCACACGUUUUUUAAUAGCUAAUCAUAAUAAUAAUAAUGAUAUUUUUAUUAUUAUCAUCAAAGUUGUUUUUAUUAUAGGAGUUCUUUUUAUGAAAUUUUGAUUUGAAUUAAAACUAAAAAUAUAAAAGUUUGUUGCUUUCAGGUUAUAACAAACUUUUAUUCAAUAAAGAAAUUAUAACAAAUCAAACUAAUCAUGAUUAUUUUUUUCAAUGACACCAACAAUUUAACAAAAAAAUAUAAUCUAUUUUUUUUUUAGUGACAUCAACAACAAUCUUUAUUAAAGAAAAAAUUGUUUAAGUGUAUAAUUGGAAUAAUGAAAAAGUAAUUAUAAAUAUACUCAUCUAGUUUGUUACACUUUUUAAAUGAUAAAGAAAAAUAAUCAGACAUAUAUAUAUAUAUAUAUAUAUAUAUAUAUAUAUUCAUAUCGUGUUUGUUACAUUUUUUUCAAUAUUUAAAUUUAUAUUCUUAUCUUUUUUUUUUGAAGAAAUAUUCUUAUCUAUUUGUUACAUGUGUUAUUUGUAUUGAAAAAUGAUGACAUUUUUAAAAAGAUAAAAUGUCAAUCCAAGAAAACUGAAAGGGAUUGUUUAUAUAUAUAUAUAUAUAUAUAUAUAUAUAUAUAUAUAUAUAUAUAUGCUUCUUCAAGUGGAUACUAUUGGUUUCUUGAACAACAUAGAGAUUGGAAUGUGAAUUGUAAUAUGAAUUGGCUUUGGCGCCUUAAAGUACCAGUAAAACUUCAACACUUUCUAUGACUUUGUUUUCAUAAUGCUCUCCCUAUUAAUGUCCGUCAGCAUCAUUGCAACAUGGUAGCUUCUCCAAGCUGCACCUGUUGCUCUUCAGCCAUAGAGGAUAUUCUUCACUGUUUACGUGAUUGUCCGCACUCUAGUGAGCUUUGGCUCCGCUUGAAUAUGGGGCGUUAUAAUAAUUUUUUUCUCUGAGUUUUUGAUGUCAAAGUUUGGCUUCAUGAGAUGACAAAGGGUACUUCCUCUAUUUUGUUUGUUGCAGGAGUAUGGUAUGCUCGGUGUUGGAGAAACAAUACUAUUUUUGAGGAUCAACAUUGGCGUAUUCAAGAUGUGGUGCGAAAGACAUUUUUGUUACAUAAUGAAUGCAUUUCUUACUAUCCCAAUCAUGGUUUGGACCCACACUCAUCGCAUCUCUUAGCUCAUUGGAUCCCCCCUCCGAAGGGUACACUCAAACUCAAUAUUGAUGGUAGCUACCUAGAAGAUUUUGGUUGUUUAGGUGCUGGUGGUGUUGUUCGCAACCACGAUGGAGAUUGGAUAGCUGAUUUUUCUCACCAUGAAGCUGGAGGUGAUGCGUUACUAGGUGAGUUACGUGCUAUCCAGAUAGGUCUUGAUUUUUGUAGUAAUAAAAGGCUAUGUUAACAUUAUUUGUGAGAGUGAUUGUUUGGAAGCAGUUGACCUGAUUAUUGAUGGUCGUGAUCAUACCUUACACACUUAUGCUACUAACAUCUUUCAUAUUAAAGAUGCUCUACAUGGAAAUGGAAAUACUAUAUUGGUACAUGUUCUCAUAGAACAAAAUAUGUGUGCAAAUUUUAUGGCUAAGGAAGGAUCACAUACAAGGUGCUCUGCUCACUGGAAGUGUCCUCCGUCUGACAUGAAAUCUCUCAUUUUGAGAGAUAAGUUUGGAACUUAAUUUCGACUCUCCCUCUUUUUUUCUUUUUCUUUUUGCCUCGUUACAUUGUAACACUACCAAAAAAAAUAUAGUAUAGAUAACAACUAUUGAAAUAACUAUAAAUAUACAACAAAAUGUUAGCAAUAAUGCUAAGAACUAUUCACCAUUGAAAUCCAUUGAUAAAUGGAGCUAAUAUAUUGAAAAUAGUGAAUUUUCUUAGUCAUGGCUUCUGAAAAGCGAUGGAGUACAUUGAUACUACUACUUGUAGUAAUGGCUUCUGCAUCAUUAGUCAUGGCAUCCUCUUCCUGCUCUUCCAUCUUCAGCUUCGGUGAUUCCCUCGCCGACACCGGCAACUUGUAUUUCAGCAACCAGCAACCCUCCCAUCACUGCCUAUUUCCUCCCUACGGAGAAACGUACUUUCAUCAUCCGUCUGGACGUUGCUCCGAUGGACGCCUCAUCAUUGAUUUCAUCGGUAAACAGUCAUUUAUACAACGUUGUGUAUUUUCAAUAAACAAUAUAUAUUAUAUUACUAUAGUAUAUUCCGUUAACUGUUGUUUGCAGCUGAGGCAUUGGGAAUUCAAAUGGUGAAACCAUAUUUAGGAAUUAAGAAUGGUGUAUUGAAAGAUAUGAGUGUAAAGGAGGGAGUGAAUUUUGCUGUUAUGGGAGCAACCGCGUUGGACAUUAGUUUCUUUGAAGAAAGGGGUGUUCACAGUGUUACCACCAAUUAUUCUUUCGGGGUUCAGUUGAAUUGGUUCAAGGAACUACUCCCUCAUAUCUGCAAUUCUUCCAAAAGUAAGUUCUCAGUUAUUCUGUUUUUGUGUGUACUCCCUCCGUUCCUUCUUACGUGUCUUUUUUGAAGAAAUUUUUCGUUUCUAUUUAACUGUCACUUGCAAAGUUCAAUGCAACAUUAAAUAUUAUUUUACCAAUAUUAUCCUUAGUUAUUUAUAGCGGAGAGAGAAAUGUAUGAAAUGAGAUAUUAAAUGAAUAAGGUCAUUAUAGUAAAAACACAACUUAUUGCAUCAAAAGUAGUAACAAUCAUUGACUAUUUUGGUUUAUGUAAAAUGUCAAAAUGAGACAAUUAAAAAGGAACGGAGGUAGUAACUUUUUUACAAAAGUUUGUGUAAUCGGUGCAUUGAAAAUUGAAAACUUUGAUAUUUUAAAAAAAUAAUUAUCUAAUUUAGCAUGCUUAAAGAGUGUCUGAGACACUCAUUAACAAGACCCUUACUUUAGUGUUAGGAAUCCAUCGAUAAAUAAAAGUGUUUGAUGUCGUUGGCGGAGGGCCUAUAUGACUAAGGUGGGCCAUGGCUCACCCCAGAGAAAAAAAAUUAAGUUUUUUAACAAGACCCUUACUUUGAUGUUAGGAAUCCAUCGGUAAAUAAAAGUGUUUGAUGUAGGUGGUGGAGGGCCUAUAGGACUAAGGUGGGCCAUGACUCACCCCAUUAAUUUUUUUUUUUUUUAUAUGGGAAUUAUUAAAAUAUUUUUUAUUUUUAACUAAAAUUACCUUGGGGUCCACCAUCUUCUCAAUCUCCGUACGUUUUAUUAUCACAAUUUCAAGUCAAUGGAAAUGUAUAAUCAAUUAUCUUGAAUUUUUUAAUUUUUAAGGUAUGUAAUUUAAUUUUUUUUUAUGCUAAAUCUUGUGUUUAAUGUUUAUUAUAACAUAAAUUUUGUGUUUAUAUUAUAGUUUAUUUUUCUGGCCCACCCAAAUAAUUUUUUCUUGACUCCACCAUUGUUUGAUGUGAUAUUUAAACCAUAAGAUUCUCCCACUUAAUAAAUUAAUCUUUUAGGUUGGACUUUUCUCGUAGGCUUAAGUCCUAAUAAUUGUUAUUUUUACCACGGAGAAGGUUAACUGGAUUAAGGUGUUCUACUAAUUGGUGAUAGAUGGAUUGGACUCUAUUCUCAUGAGCUUAAGUGGUAAUAUUUACUCACUACAUUUCUACACUUGAUAUCUUCGAACUGUUUUGCAUUUCUCUCACAUUUUUGUUUGAGUGUGUAUUUUCUUUUGAACGUAAUUAUGUGCCACAAAUAUAGGCGAGUUUGUGUAGCAUGACCGACAUAUAUUUUUUUUUAAAAACAAAUAUAUGUGCUGUCAAUUUUUAGCACCACAAAUGAUUCCCAUCACGUGUUUUUUUGGGUUGGUAGGUAGGUGUUUGUUGUCAUGACAGGUACUUGGUUUAGAAUGCAACCAUAAGUCGUACAAAUGCCAAUAUUCAUCAUAAUGCACGUUUAUAACGUAUUAGGAGUUUCCUUAAAAAAAAAAACGUAUUAGGAGUAGUUUAAUUGAAAUAGAUGCACAAACAAAAAGAAAAAAUAUAAAAGAAAUUGAUUUCAUUCAAUUUUGAUAGUUUAAAUGGACUCCAUUCAAUUUUUAUAUUAUUUUACGCUUAUUAAAACUUUAAAAUUGAUUUCACUAAUGUUACAAUAUACUUUCAAUUUCUUAAUUUUUAAUUUUACAAAUUUUUUAAUUCGAAGACACACACGAAAAACAUUGAGGUGAGUGCUCUUCGUGGGUGGAAGAAAAAAAAGGACACAACAACCCCAAACUGUUUCAAAUUUUAAGGAGAUUAAGCUUUAAGUGGAUCAAACAUUCUGUGUAUAUUUUAACCUGGCAAACCUUUUCAAGCUAGUAGAAACACUUACUUUUCUGGUUUUUUUGUUAAGUAUUUUUUCCUUAAAAAAUUACCAUAUUUUGUUUUCCAUCUUCAUAAAAAAAAAGUUGCAUGUUAGCAUCCCUGCAAAAUAUUCUGGUAUGCAAUUUUAGUCCUUAUUAAAUUUAAAUAUGAUUGGUUAUCUUUAAACUUUUAAAUUUUGGAGUGUUCUUUUUACAUACAUAUUUAGAACAUGAUAAAAAGUUCAUCCGCAAAAAAAUAAACUCAAAAUUUGAUUUUUAGGACCACAUAAUUGUUACUUUUUUUCUUGAACUUUUAUCAUCUUAAAAUAUCAUAUUUUAUUCAUUUCAUGUUAAAAAAUUAUAUUUUUUUUUUUGUAAAAAAAAACAUUUUAUAAUGUCCUAAACAUGUUUUCAAAAAGUCAUUAAAAAAAUUAUUUGAUUAAGGAUAAUUAAACAAUUUGAAUUUAACAUGGACUAAAAGUGUGAUGGAAAUAUUUAUAAUUAAAAAUGUGAUGGAAAAUUUUAUAAGAACGAAAAUGAAAAAUAUGUCACUUUUUUUAUUAUAGAGACGAAAAACCUAUUUGACAUUUUUUUAAAGGCAAAAUUUUAUCAAGAACACUAACUCAAACAGAAGGAGUACAAGGACUAGAUCAAAAUAUCACACAACAAAGUUACAAGAUUUGCAGGGAAAAAACUCUAAAUCACCUAAACAUGAUAUAAGACAACAAUUUAUCCACAGAAAUUUCUACCGACAACAAAAUGAGCCGUUGUCACACCUCCUCAACACUGGUUUGGUAAGAAUUAGUUGUUGCGAGUUGAGAAAUGUAUUUGUAGAAUUAUUUUCUAAUAAUUUUUGUGACAAUUUUUUCUCUUAUAUUCACAUUAUAUUUUUACUUUCUCUCUCUAUUACUUUGAUAUUUAUGCCAAUACACAAUUUUCUUUGUAAAAAUGUGAUUGUCCAUUUGGUUGUCAAGCAAAUUGAUGUUCAAAUAAUACUAUUUAAAUAAAGAAAUAAAAACGAGUGUAAGCGGCAUAUAAAAUAUUUCAACGGAGGUCUAUUAGUGUAAUUUACCCUUAUUUAUUUUAGUUAAAAAGGUUCACCAACCACGAAAAGUACAAGCUAGAAAAAAUACAAAAUUAUAAUAAGCAAUUAGAACCCUAACAAAAUACCUAAAAGAUCCGUCAAUAUUAAGAAUGUUCGUGUUGCGGUUGGAUUCGGUUUUAAGGUUAAAAGACAUCUGAGCCGCAAGAUAAAAAAACAUGUAGUUUGGUUUAAUUCGGUUGAUUUUUAAAAUAAAAACCAACCCAAACCAAACCAAUGCGGUUUGAGUUGAUUCGACUGUUCUGGUUUUUUUGAGACAAUACAAUAUUUUGUAUCCAACGUUAAAAUCAAGUUAAAAAAAUAAAAACAACUUAUUUCCUACCAUUAUUUUAUCAAAAUAUACCAAAUUAAAAACAUAGACAAAAAAACAACCCCUUUUUAUAAGAAAUACAAAAGAUUUAAGUAUUUAUCAUUUUCUAAAAAUUUUCAUUGAGUUCCUAUAAUUCAAGAUAUAUCUAAUAUAAAGAUAUAUGCAAAAGUGCAAGAAGAAUUAAAUUAAAGCACGUAAAUACAUUUUUUAAAUCAAAAGCAUAGAAGAAACCUAACAAAAUAAAAUUAUACUCACUCCAUUUCAAAAUGAGUGUCGUUUAAGUUUUUACACACAUAUUAAAAAAUGUAUUAAUUAAAAUAAAGAAAGAUGUUAUUUUACCAAAUUGUCCUAAUCAACUAUUGGUUUGUUUUUCAUUAAAGAAAAAAAUUAAUACUUUGAAAGUAGUGUAUAUAGUAUUAAUUGAAGGGUACAAUUGAAAAGAAAAAAUUAUUAUUACAUUGAAAAAUGAAAAAGACAUUCAUUUUGAAACAAUUUUUUGGCUAAAACGAUAAUCAUUUUGAAACGGAUGGAAUAGUAAAAAAAGACAAAAACCAUGCCAUUCUAUAAAAUUUCUCAUUGAAUUUCUACGAGUACUAGGUUGGGUGACAAAAGUUUAAUUAGUGUUUUUCUUAUGUUACGGUUUGGUUGAUAAAAUUAAAACCGCAAACUAAACAAAACUGUGCAGUUGGUUAAAAAUGAUCCAAAUACAUCUGAACUAAAUGCAGUUUUUUUGGGUUUGCGGUUUGAGUUGAUUCGGUUUGCUGUUUUUCAAUCAGAUUAGUUUGGUUUACGGCUUUUCAAUUAGAUUGCUUCAAUUUACAGUUUUUUUAUUGGGAAAAAUUUGCUCAUGAAGUUUUUUUUUAUCUUCGAUACUCUUCACAAAUCGUGCUCAUGGCCUCAAUUUAACCAUGCAGCCUGCCAUGAAGUUCUUGGAAAGUCAUUAUUUCUUGUGGGGGAGAUUGGAGGCAACGACUUCAAUUAUCCUUUACAUAUACGACAGAGCAUAACAAAGCUUAAAGAAUAUGUACCACAUGUAAUCAAUGCAAUAACUUUAGCAAUUAAUGUAAGAUUAUUUUCUUUUGCAAAUUCUAUUAUAUGACUAGACCUAUUUGAGUUUCAAUUUUCUUCAAAGCAUAAUUAUGAAGUCUUUUGUAUUUUAUGUCUUCGCAGGAGUUGAUUGAUCUAGGGGCACGCACGCUUAUGGUCCCUGGAAAUUUCCCAUUGGGAUGUAGUGCAGUCCAUUUAACAACGUAUGAAACCACGGAUAAGAACCAAUAUGACUCAUUUGGUUGCUUGAAGUGGUUAAAUGAAUUUUCUGAAUUUUAUAACCAGAAACUCCAACAUGAGAUACAUAGGCUUCGAGUAAUUCAUCCUCAUGCUAAUAUCAUCUAUGCUGAUUAUUACAAUGCAGCAUUGCCAUUAUAUCGUUAUCCCAAAAAAUAUGGUAAUUCAACUAUCUCAACUCUUUAUAUUGAAUUAUAACAUUUUUAAAAAAAAGCUCUCUAAACUCCUUUAAUAUAUUAGUUCAGUUGCUAUGAAUAUUGUAUAUUAUAUAUAGGGGCUGGGGUUCGAACUCCGGACACCCCACUUCUCCACAUUUAUAUGUGUGAGCUCUAGCCAUUAGACUACUUGACAAAAAAAAACUUCGUUUUAAUCAUGCGUACUAUAAUGUUUCCAUAAAAAAAAAAUUAUGCUUAUUGUAUUAAAAUUUGAAGUCCCGCUUGUUAUCCAACUAUGUUUGUUGGUUAGUUAGUUAGUGACCUGUAGUGCAAGUAACUCUACUUAGCCUAUAAAUACUUGUUUUGUAUUCAAUAGAUAUAUCUCGUAUCUUGUAUCAUAAUGACAAUGCAAUACAAUUUAUAGUUUUACAAUUCACCAUAAACAAAACUCUAUUCAUCCUCAUUAUUCUCAUCACAUAACAGAACAUUUGGAACUAUCUCUUUUCUCUCAUCAGUGAGUGUAAGCAAGGAGCUUGCAUCAACAACGCUGACUAGAGAUAAUAUGUGGAAAAACAUUAUAAAGAAUGUACAUCUAUUUUGUUGAUAUCUUUAUAUCUUACAAGAUAAUUUUGUAAAGUUGAAUUAGGUAGAGUAUAUGAUAAGUAUGAGAUAAUAGUAGAGCAUAUAAUAGAUUUAGUGUGUGUCAUUUAAUGAUCUAUGUGUUAGGAAGAAGGGAAUUAUUACUAUCUCAAAUUUUAUACAACUUAUAGAUUUCUUCACUCUCACAAACCAAAUAUUUAAACUAAGUCAGAUAUAAUCUUAAAGUGCUACUGACCGGUGCAUCAAAAACAAAGAAACUAGGUUCAAUAUAUAGCAUUGGUCUUCCCCUUGCUUCACCAAACUAAGCGAUGUGAGAUUUCUCCAAUAGCUAAUAUUUUUCAAUCUCCUUCUUUAUUUAAGAAACUUGACAAUCAAACCCAACACUAUGUGCCAAGCUCAAUAGUUUUUGAUGUAUUGCGUAAACUCCAAGUGUGAUGAGUUUUUAAAGUUAGUCUAGGACAUUGUUUAAUAACUAUUGUCUAUGUAAUGAGAUUUUUUUACUUGAUUUCAUUGCAGGUUUUACAGGACUCAAAGUAUGUUGUGGAAUAGGAAGUCCAUACAAUUACAAUGCAUCAAACAUGUGUGGUAAACCAGGCGUACCUGCUUGUGAUGAUCCUUCUCAGUAUAUUACAUGGGAUGGUGUUCAUUUUACCGAGGCCGCAUAUAGAUUAAUUGCCAAUGGCUUAAUUAAAGGACCAUAUUCCGUCCCUCAAUUGAGUAACCUGUGUUUCAUGAAUGUAAGCUAUGGAUAUGGAUAUGGACAUUUCAAUAGCUAGAGUGUGAAAUUAUGUAUUGACAUAAUCAAUAAAUUAUGGUCAUUAAAUAUGAAGUUAUGUAUUGACAUAAUCAAUAAAAGUGAAAUUGUUAUAAAUUAUUAUAAUUAAUAUAAAUAAAAAUUAUGGUCUAAUCUUGUUAAGCACUAAUAUUGAUGAACUCUUUGAUUGGGCGUUGUUUAUGAAUGGACCUGAUGAGCUGGACCAUUCUAUUUAACUCAAUGAGAGGUUCGUGUCUUAAGUUGUUUAACUAUUUAAACAGCACUACUCAAACGAUUAAUUAAGCACAUGGAGAAAACCUUACAUGUUAACCUAGACGGCAAUGAGGGUAGUCAAUAUUCUCACCGAUUGUCUCUAGAUUUCUGGCAAUUCUCGUUAAUCUUCCACCAAAGCUGCCACUAAUACAUACAUUACACCAGACAAGGCAUACAUAUCAUUCAAGCAUAGAUAUACAAAACUGAAUUUUCACAUUAUAUUUGAAUUUCAAAAAUAACAAUCAUCAAAGUUGUAUUUGAAUUUCAUAUUGUCAUACUUUUUGGGUUGUUCAAUGUAUAUAUAUGAUUGUCCUUGUUGUUAAAGCUCAGUGUUGGGCUAUGAAAACAACAUAUAUAUGGGCAUGUCAUAAGUUGCUUCCAUAAGUUCUUUGAAACAAUCUUACAAGAGUUUAUAUGAGUAGAUAAACUCAAAUAGCUAAAUCGUAACAGGCCCUAAGUUUGUUUUGAGAAACCAAGGAUUAAUUGUAUUUCUUUACUCUCCAGUUUAAGUUAUUUUCUAAUCAUUGGUUAGUUUACGAGUUUAUGCCGUAUUUGAUUGAUUUACGGGCAGUAACAAUUUUGGUUCCUGGAUGUUUGCCACAUUGAUGCAAUCCAGCCUAUUUAACAAUGUUUGCAACUGAAGAUGAAGAUGAGUAUGAUCAAGCUGGAUGUUUGACAUGGUUAAACAAGUUUUUUGAAUAUCAUAAUGAGCUGCUUCAAAUCGAACUAAAUAGGCUUCGAGUCUUGUAUCAUUUUGCUAAUAUCAUCUAUGCAGAUUAUAUUUCAAUAUGCUGCAUUGCAGUGUUACAAAUCUCCAGAACAUUUUGCUAGUAUGUCCUCUAAUAUUCUUAGCUUUUUACGUCACAACUAUUAGAUAAUAGUUAUAUAUUAUGUAAGAGUGGUUUGGUAUUUUCUGAUCUCUAGUUUUUUAUACUCUAUUUUGACUCUUGUUUCAUCAGCUUUGCUCAUUAUUCUAUUGAAACCCUAAAGAGAAAGGGUGAUUUCUCCUUUGGUCUUCUUCUUACUCAUCUCUUUUUUCUAUAUGUUCACAAUUGCUAACAUGAUUUGAGAGUCGGGUUAUGGAUUGCAAUGUGGGAAUUGAAUUCAAGCCCACGGUAGGGAUGAAGGGUUGGUAUUGAAGUUGUUUGUAGUUUGUUUAGUCUCACUUUGUUAAGGUUUUCGGGUUUAUCGGGUAUAUAAAUGUACAUGAACACCCUCGCUCUUUGAGAUAAUUUUGUUAAGAGUCCCACAUCGGAUAGGACAUGACCUGACAAUAUGUUUAUAAGUGGGGGCAAUCCUCACCUCACAGGUUGGUUUUGCCUGGGCUCUGACACCACUAUUAUAAAUGGUGGUUGGGUCUAACACAACCUCACAAAAGGUCAUGUCUUAUCCGAUGUGGGAGUCUUAACAAAUUUUUAGGCUUGGAAUGCAAACCCAUUUAACAACAACAAUGUGUUCGUGUUGCAAGUGAGCAUAAAAUUGAACAUUAAUGGUUUGUUUCGAAUCAAACUGGUUCAAUUUUAUGCUCACGAGCUGAAAAUACCUUUACGAAAAAAACCAAAUUUUGCCUUUUCGAUUUGAACUGAUUCUUUUGUGAACCCAACUAUACCAAAUUGUAAAACAAUUUUUUUUAGCAGCCUUGAUAUUCAUGUGUUACUUAAUCGUUAGUACUUCUUAGAUAACAUGAAUCAAGAGUCUACAAUGAAACUUAGUUCGGGUUGCUUUUACAUUUAGUGUUAUUGUCUAGAGAACCUCUAUGUCAUAUGAUUUUUUGGUAUGCCACCAAAUCAUUGAAUAGUGAUACAAGAAUUUGUGUCAAUGUUGUCUAAGGGUUUGAUGGAAUUUGGAAAUGCUUUUAAAGUUUGUUGUGGAGAUGGAAGUCUUGAAAAUUGCAAUGAUACGGCACUAUGUGAAACACAUAGGUGAUUUGCAUGUGAUGAUCCUUCAAAAUAUGUCAGCUGGGCACACUUGCUUGGGUACUCACCCAAAUAAAAAUAUUUCCGCACACACAAAAUUAAGAAAAAAAUUGAAAAUAAAAUAAAAUUGCAAGAUAUCAAUUCAUGUGACUAAAUACUUUUUAUUUAAUUUUGUUAAUUUCAUACGAGUGUGCCCAAAAAAAUAUUUAUUUCGGGUUGUGUUCAUGAAAGACCGCAUAUAGAUGAAUGACCAGGGGUUUAUUAGAUGGACACCACACCAUUCCUAUGUUAAUUGUAAAAAAAUUCAAUAAAAUAGUAAUGUUGAGAAACCGUUUUGUUUGGACGCUUCAAUAUUUUUUGGUAGUGAGCGAAAAUGUGAAUCACUUCAUAUAUAAAAUCAAUAUCUAAGGGCACAGCAUAUUGAAAGCUUAACCGCAUAAAUUGAGUUUUUUAAGGGAAACCGCAUAAAUUGAGUGUUAGGCCUUGCACAAACUAGUCCCUGUAACUUUUUACAUCUCUUGUUCACCAAAGUUCAUCUUCAUUGAAACACCAUGAAGUUCAAUAUCAUCCUAAUCCUCAUCUCCUUCACAUUUGGUUUCCCUGAAAAAGUUAUUUCAAAUCCUACUCCUCGUCCAUUUGAUGCUAUUUUCAACUUUGGCGACUCUUUAAGUGACACUGGCAAUUUCCUUGCCACUGGUGCCAAUUUAUUCCCAGCCGUAGGUCAUCCUCCUUAUGGUGAAACCUUCUUUAGAAAUGCAACUGGUCGUUGCUCAGAUGGACGACUAGUGAUUGAUUUCAUAGGUAUGUAGUUCUAUAUACGUGACUAAACGAUAUUGCUAAGAAUCACAAUCAAAUGUGGUUGAUGCGACCUCAUUUGAGGUUGUGUUUUAAUCAAAGAGAAAUAGAAAAUCUCGAUAUUGAAGUUUAGAUUGUAGCAAUAGACCUUAUUUUAUUGAAGUUUGACAAUUAUAGUGUUAAUAAUUUUCAAUAAUGGUGAAUUUUGGUUGCAGCUGAGGCAUACGGAUUACCAUAUUUGCAACCAUAUCUGAAAGUAAUCAAAAGCAAUCAAAUCAUCCGCAAUGGAGUAAAUUUUGCAGUCGCUGGAGCCACAGCGCUUGGUGUAGAAUUCUUCAACAAAGAAAUGGGAAAAUUGCUAUGGACAAAUCAUUCAUUGAACAUUCAGCUUGGCUGGUUCAAGAAGCUGAAGCCUUCCUUUUGUACAACUAAACAAGGUAACAUAUAACAUUCAUUGACCAUCCCAAAUGAAACCAUUGUAUGAAAUUUUCCAAUAACAAAACUUUUUUUAAUCCUCUGCUAUGUCACAGAUUGUGAUAGCUACUUCAAAAGGUCACUCUUCGUGGUGGGAGAGAUAGGUGGUAAUGAUUAUAACUAUGCUGCCUUUGCUGGAGAUAUUACUCAUCUUCGAGACACCGUUCCUUUAGUUGUUCAAACAAUAGCAAAGGCCAUUGAUGUAUGUUUUAUUGCAUCCAACAUAAUAAUGCAUUUAUAUGAAUUAGCCUUUAUUUGAUCAGAAAUUGAUGUUGGUAAUAACAUUCACACAAUACAUUGUUAGCGCAGCCUCUAUGCUUGUUUCACAAGCUAGGUUUUUUUUUGAGUUUUUGUUUUUAUUGGAUUUGAGAGAAUGAGAAGAAUAGAGAAGGAGAAGAAUUGAGUUUUAUGAAAUUGUGAAUUCAUUGAUUGGUGAAUCACAAAUAAGCAAAAAUAUAACAAACUUGUAACCAACUAAACUUAUUGUGAUUACUAAGUGAUCUUAAUCAAACAACCUUGAUUAAAUCACUAAACAGAUAUUCUAACUUGAAUUAACAAAACUAAUAUACACUCAAUUAAUUAUUGGCUAGGAAUUGAUUGCUGAAGGAGCAGUGGAGCUUUUGGUGCCGGGAAAUUUGCCUGUUGGAUGCAAUGCUGUGUACCUAACUUUGUUUAGUAGCAAGAACAUAUCAGACUAUGAUGAAAAUGGAUGUUUAAAAGCUUUCAAUGGUUUAGCAAAUUACCACAACAUGCAGCUCAAUUUUGCCUUACAGACACUAAGGACCAAGAAUCCUCAUGCAAGAAUAAUGUAUGCUGACUAUUUUGGUGCAGCAAUGCGUUUCUUCCAUUCACCAAGACAAUAUGGUUAGUUUAUUUUCAUGGCUUUAUCUAAUGUGUAUAAACAAACCGGUACUGUAUUAUGCACAAACUUAUUUUACACCAUUUGAUUACUUAAUCUCGUCAUAUUUCUUUUGUCUUUCUUUUCCCGUUCCUAUUCAAUAUGGCAAUGCAAAAUUAUAUGGUAUCACUUCUUUUUCAGGAAUGAUUUGUAUAACUUGUUAAAAGCUACCAAAAAAAAUUUGACGUCAAAACUUGCUUAAAGCUACCAAAGUGUUUCACGAAAAAAAUUUGAUCUUAAUUUAGUCUCUAAUACAGCAAACAAAAAUUUAGUGUCUCUGAUACAACAAACUAAAAUAGACAUAUUUUUUUAUGUAUUUCUCUAGGAAUAUCUUCAUAUGUUCAUAAACCUACCUACAAUAACAAUUGUCGAUCUUUAGAAGUAUCAUCAAUGUGUUCAUAGAAAUAGAUUGGAUAAGACUAAUUUUCUUUAUAAAAGUUACCUACAUUUGCAUUCUUU
This 80190-nucleotide long non-coding RNA is filed under the name Medicago truncatula (barrel medic). Its description in RNAcentral is "long non-coding RNA (MTRU_LNC008042)". The stretch from base 51707 to 51819 matches the Rfam family "MIR2593 microRNA precursor family". The record is from RNAcentral. Lineage: Eukaryota; Viridiplantae; Streptophyta; Magnoliopsida; Fabales; Fabaceae.